ACUGGACCCAAUCUGGACCCAAUAGCUAUGCCAGGGAUUGGACCUGCCAGUUCAGUCCCCAUUCUGUUGUUGCUGUUAUGAUCAGCCGGGCUGCAGAUGCAGCAGUGGUUCCACAAACCCCUUCCAGCAGGGUUUGUUGGUGGUUUGAUUGUACCCUCAAUUACCAAAUUAAGUUUGGUAACAUAUUAAUAUUCACUGUGACCACUGCCCUGGGAUUACUUUGUGACUAAGGGCCACCUAUAAAUUUCUUUAAAUAACUGUAGCAGGAUAGUGGAGAUAUUUUAAGUCAGAUUUAAAAUGACCCCCAUGAAGUUUUCUGCACUAUGGCCACAUCCACAACAUGCUCUUUUACUGCUUUAAUAACCAUGGCUUCCACCAAGGAAUCAUGGCAAGUGUAGUUUGUUAAGUGUGCUGACCUUAUGGAGUUACAUCUUCCAGCACUCUUAACAAACUACAGACCCAUAAAAUCUCUGUGACUGUUAAAGUGGUAUAAGAGUGGUAUAAGAUAUUAAUAGAUACUGUAGAAAGAGGUGGCUUCGGGUUACCGGAUUUGAAGCUAUAUUACGAAGCCUCGUGUCUUCUCUGGUUGAAAGAUUGGUGUUUAUUAAAAAAUUGGGAUAUUUUAGAUCUAGAAGGCCAUGACACCCGUUUUGGGUGGCAUGGCUAUCUUAAUUAUGGGAAAAUAAAGGUGCACCGGAGUUUUUCAAAUCAUAUAAUAAGAAAUGCUAUAUAUAAGGUGUGGGGAAAAUAUAAAAGAUAUUUGGAACAGAAAACCCCAAGAUGGAACUCUCCAUUGGAAGCAGUCGCUGUUAAAAAAAAAAAAAAAACAUCAAAGAGAACUGGAUAACGUAUAACACAAUAUUAAGGGAGGAGGAGGGUCAACUAAUAUUGGUAAGUUACGAGAAAAUAAAAGAUCACUUUUCUAGUUGGCUAGAUUACUUCCAGGUGAAUGAAAUGUUCAGACAGGACAAGCAGAUAGGUUUUGAAAAGGAGCCUUCAGAAUUUGAAAGAGAUUUACUGAAUAGUAAAACUAAAAUAAUCGCAAAAAUGUAUAGACUUCUUUUAGAUUACGAAGUAAUGGAUGAGGAGGUUAAGACUUCAAUGAUAAAGUUGUCCCAAGAUGCGGGCCGCCCAGUUAUGCUAAAAGAUUGGGUAAACUUAUGGAAUGUAAAUUUGAAAUUUACAGCCAUCUAUAACAUCAGAGAGAACAUGAUGAAAAUGGCUCAUAGGUGGUACCUCACUCCUUCCAGAUUAUCAAGAUUGUAUAAAAAUUUGGUGAAUGCUUGUUGGAGAUGUGGAGGAAAUAACGGUGACAUGAUCCACAUGUGGUGGACGUGUGAAAAGAUUAAGAUUUUUGGGGGGAAAAUAUACGAUGAAUUAAAAAAGAUGAUGAGGAUAACUUUUAUUAAAAAACUGGAGGCAUUUCUAUUAAGUAUUUUAGACAAAGAGAUCCCCCCCAAAUUAAGAGAGGUAUUAUUGUAUGCAACCGCAGCGGCUUGUAUACUUGUGGCCAAGGGAUGGAAAGAUCACGAGGCUCCAAAAAUAACAGAUUGGCAAAUCAAAUUACAGGAAUUGGUGGAGACGGCUCAAUUGACUAGCAAACUCCGAGGAAUCUCAAAGCAGAAAUUUGCAGAAAAAUGGGAGGGUUAUAGAAGAUAUGUUCAAAAAUACAAAAAUAGUUUUGACUCCAUGCUAGCAUUAGAGUGAUAAAGGAACUAAAAGGAGGUGGACAACAAUUAAGGAUUUAUUAUGUUUUCAGAAUGUAUUAGAAAAAUUAUAUAGAAAGGUUUAUUGUUUUGUGUACAUUCAAAUGUAAGAUAGAAUAUAUGCAAAGGGACUUGACAGGAAGUCAAAGUUGAAGAAAAGAUUUUGGAAGAUAAAAGUUGGAAAAAUAUUUACUUUCAUUAUAUUUUGUGUGCGGGUUGGGGGUAUUUGGGUGUCUGCACAUAUGAGUGUUUUUGUAUGCAAUGUUUGGGAGGAAAUAAGAUGGCAAAUAACAAACAACAAACUAAAUAUUGAUGUAUGUAAUUUUUAUUUCUUAAUUAUAUUUAGUGGUAGUAUGGCUGUAUUGUUUUUUGUAACAUAAAAUCAUUCAAUAAAAAUUAUUAAAUAAAUAAAUAAAGUGGUAUAAGAGUGUUUACAUAUGUGGUGUUGAUGUGGGCGAUGUGUGGUGUUAUGGAAUGGGGGUUGCCAAGUAUUCAUGGGAGAGAGGUGAAAUUUCAGUUCACUUGAUGUUGAACAGAACAGUAUAGUUAGUUCCUAUUGGUGGAUGGAAGAAGGAAGAGGCCAAGAGAGAAGAGGUGAAAAGAGGAGUGAAGCUCCUUGCUCACCUCAACAAUAUCAAAACUGGAUUCAAAGUUCCAACCAAAAUUCAUGGAUGGGGGAACUGGGAAAGGUAGGGUUGAAAUUAUGCAACUCUUUAGAUGGAGCUAAAACAAAAUAAAGCUUUUCAGAAACCUAUCAAAAAUUAUUUAUUGAGGAAUUUUGGUUCAGCCCUUAUAUAUUUUCUAUUGAAGAUGACAGCUUCUGGAGCUCAACCAGUUGCACUGAGCAAUGUGACUCUGACAUUACAGAGAAACUCAUACUCAAAAAAGCAGAACUUCCAUAAUGCAUUGACCCAGAAACUACAAUAUUUUUGUAAAAUGAAAUUGUUUUGGCUGAUAGCAGAAGUGCCGAGUAAAAUGGAAUUAGAAAUUGCUUUCAUUAAAAGUAUACUUUCUGUCUACCCCCUACUAUUACAAUCACAGUUUCUUUUCAUCACACACUCUCUGCAAAUUUAUUUUUACACUGGCAGAGACUUUUGAACUCCUUUAAACAGGGAAGACAAAACACUUUCAGAGAGGUGAUAGAAUAAUGGAAAUCCAUUGGAAAACACUCAGCAUCAACUACAUUUUAUUUGAUCCAUUGUUCACAGAAGGCAGACACACAUCAAUUGGCUUUGUUGUUACACUCGAAUGUAAUGCCCUUUGUUCCAAAUGUACAUGUUAAUUGGUAGCUAACUCACUUUGAUGACAUGUUUGGUGCACUUGAGGGACAUAUUUUUCUAAAUUGCCAUAUUUUAAAUAGAUUGUACCUUGCAAGUCUUAAAAUUGUCAUUAGAACUUGGCAGAAUUUGCCUUGCUCUGUGUAGACAAAUGCUCCCAACUUGCUUACUCAUCCUUACAAUAAUGUACCUGUGUUUUAGACAGAACAAGGUAAACAGACAAAACCUAGGAGUGGGGAGUGGCGGCAGAAGCUGAGAAAAGUGGAACAAUUGUUGCACAGGUAUAGAUCAGCACUAUAAUUCUGAAGGUGUUUUUCACCUUUGCAUUUCAAACAGGUACCCCACAACCUAGACAGCAUCUUAAAAAGUAGAGAAAUCACCUUGCCAACAAAGGUCCGUAUAGUAAAAGCUAUGGUUUUCCCAGUAUGGAAAUGUAUAGAAAUGAGAGCUGGACCAUAAAGAAGGCUGAUUGCCAAAGAAUUGAUGCUUUUGAAUUAUGGUGUUGGAGGAGACUCAUGAGAGUCUCAUGGACUGCAAGAAGAUCAAACCUAUCCAUUCUUAAGGAAAUCAGCCCUGAGUGCUCACUGGAAGGACAGAUCCUGAAGCUGAGGCUCCAAUACUUUGGCCACCUCAUGAGAAGAGAAGACUCCCUGGAAAAGACCCUGGUGUUGGGAAAGAUGGAGGGCACAAGGAGAAGGGGACAGCAGAAGACGAGAUGGUUGGAUAGUGUCUUCAAAGCUACCAGCAUUAGUUUGACCAAACUGCGGGAGGCAGUGGAAGACAGAAGUGCCUGGCGUGCUCUAGUCCAUGGGGUGACGAAGAGUCGGACAAGACUAAACGACUAAACAACAACAACAACAACCCCACAACCACCUCAAUUCUCAUUUGCAAAUCCUCUUCUCCCAAGAAAAAGUAGUGAACUUUCUGAACUAAUGUUUCUAGUUGCAUGACUGAGUACAUAUUUGGUAAGAAAUAAAUACUGGAUCUUUGCCUAAGUACAUCUAAUGUACAAGUCUCCACUGAAUAUUGUUAUCUAACAGAGUCCACGUCUUGGGAAUUUGAGGGUGGAUAAAGUACCAGAUUCAAUUCCUUUUUCCUUAACCUAGACAUUGGGAGUUCAUGGCUCUCCUGAGUUCCCCAUGUCUGCUGUAACUUAACAGGACUUUCCCCUUCCAUGGGAUUGCUUACAGCAGUGGUUUGUGCAGCCCUAUUUUGUACUCCUAUAUUUCUGGAUCAAAAUAAAGGAGUGGGUUGAUAAAUCUUUCAAAAAACGGAAAAAAAACCCCACUCCCUACCUUAUUUUGUUUUUGUUUUGUAUUGGUUCGCAUCAUUUUAAUUAGUCUGCAAUGUACAUCUAUUUUACUAAUACCCAUCUGCCUGUGUUUUCUUCUGCCUCUGUUUUGAUCUCCAGCUGGUUUUAAUAAAAACAUUGUCAGUAGAAGAAAUAUAUAUUUUUAUUGCAUAUGUUAAAAACACAAUUUCAUUUAAACUUUUUUUCUCCUCCAAGAGUGACAAAUUGCGAAAGAGAUGUAUCAAUCACACUACCGAUGUUUGCAAAGCAAACAUACAAACUCUGGUGGGUAAUAAUUCAUGGGAUAGCAAGGGCAAAAACAGUGUUCUAGUUGACCGCAAGACCUCAAGUCUAAGCUCUCUGCAAUGCUAUAUAAAAAGUAAAUCCCACCAAUUUUGAUGGGUGUUCUUCUAUGUAAGUACAUAAAGGAAUGCAGACUUCGUGGGAAAGAGCUCUCGCUGUUUACAGUGACUAUUCGCAUCAUGACUGACCACUGAUAUAUUGCUUGGAAAUUGCUCCUGUGCUUUCAACAAGUAGAUUACAGUGGUACCUCGGGUUAAGAACUUAAUUCAUUCUGGAGGUCCGUACUUAACCUGAAACUGUUCUUAACCUGAAGCACCACUUUAGCUAAUGGGGUCUCCCACUGCCGCUGCGCCGCUGUUGCGUGAUUUCUGUUCUCAACCUGAAGCAAAGUUCUUAACCUGAGGUACUAUUUCUGGGUUAGCGGAGUUUGUAACCUGAUGUGUCUGUAACCUGAAGCAUCUGUAAUCUGAGGUAUCACUGUAUGGAACCUUACAGUCGGGAAACUAGGACUAAAAGAAGAUAUUCAUUGUUUCUCUCAUUGAAGGAGGUGAAUAUCUCUGGUGUUCUUUGAAACACAAGCUGUUUCAUAUAAUUUUAAAAAUUAUGAGGGUGAAAAUGAUUUCACAAAUCCAGUGUUGCCCUCAUGCGUUCCUCUAAGCCAGUGUUUCUCAACCUGUGGGUCCCCAGAUGUUGUUGAACUACAACUCCCAUCACCCCUAGCUAGCAAGGCCAGAGCUCAGGGAUGAUGGGAGUUGUAGUCCAACAACAUCUGGGGACCCACAGGUUGAGAACCGCUGCUCUAAGCACUCCAAACCCCCUGCAAGGACAGCUGCUUACAGAGGAGCGGCUAUCUAACCUACGAUGCUCAUAUCUACAAUGUCUGGGUAGGAAAGGGAGAGAAAGAAUAUAAUAGGGAAGUGGUGGUGUUAGGGUUCUUUCAGUUUCCCAUUUUUCCAGUCUUACAUUCAGUUCUCCACAUUUCCUCAUCUGCUUGCAUUUUUUUAAAAUCACACAAAAAAAUCAUCAUGAAAAUUCACCAGCAUUUUAGUGCGAAUGUCUCCUAACACGUGGUUGCCUUUCAUUUUGCCUAAUAAACACAUUUCUACAUAGUGGUUUCCCCUAAUAGAAUGUAUUUUGUAUGCUAAUUUGACCAAUGCACACAAUUCUAUGCACCCUAAGAUAUGCAUUGCUGCACACAUUACUUGCAUUGAAAAUUCAGAAAAGUACAAAAUUCAAAGAAUGGUCACAGUUCAGCUCAUGUAUUGUUUCGAAAAGUACAGAUUAGGUAGAGUCACCUUUAAAGGUAAACUGCAUCAAAUUACUCCCCUACCCCAAGGAAGUGGUCCGUGGCCUGUGUUAUUUCAUAGGGCACUAGAAUAGCUUUCAAAACUACUGCUAGUUCAGUAAACAAUUCCAUUUUCUAUUGUAUCUAUAUUUAUCUACACAUAUACACAGGUAGCUAGAGGCAGCUAUUUCACACCUUAAUUUAUUUGAGUCUUUGAAACUUUGAGAUUAGGAAUGUAUGCAGAUACAGAUACAUUAUACCUGCAUUUUACCUUGCAAUGCCAGUACAUGAGAAGAGUAGUCAAACGCUGACAAGACUGAGUGAUAAUACUUCUAUUUGCGCUCUGAAAAUAUAUAUAUUAACUUCUAUACUCAGGCUUAAAAUACACAUAUAUCUUCAUUUAAGAAAACUUCCUGCUAACUUUUAAAGCUUAAUAUUUCAAAUAUAUAGUUGUGCUAUUGGCAACCAAUCCUCCAUAACUUCUUCCAUGAAAUUCGAGUAUAUUUUUACAGACUGCCCUCUGGAUUCUCAGUUCCCUUUAUUGAUUUUUGUACUCCUUGGGGCUGGCUCUGUUGAAACAAGCUGUACUGUAUUUUGGGCUUGCUUUUAUUACUUUACCAGGCUCUGUAGCUUGGUUAUUGCAUUUGUGCGUCAUUUUGAAAUUUACGUCCUGUUUAAUUGCAUUUCUUAUUUUUCUUCUUAGAAUUAUUCCAGGAAUAUAGCCUCAAAGAGGAUUUUAGGGAAUACAUUUUCGUAGGCUUGGAAAUACUCCCUGCCCCCAACAAAGUAGUAUUCUUUUGCUUUUUCUUUUGAUCCAGCAGCAGUGGAUGAAACAGAAAUUUUUUCUUCUUUGCCUUUUAACAAGAAGGCAGAAGCAACCUUCACAUUGUCUGUUAAAUAGAAUCCUCGGUGCACAUAAGUGCUCUGAUUCAGCUAAGGGUGAAGCUGCAUAUACAUUCCAGCCCCUUUUCCUGCCUGUGUCUGUCUCUGUCUCACGGCUCUGUCUCUGUCUAAGUUCUGCUCACCACCUUUUGUGGAGAUCUGUGGGGUUGAGGAGCUGCUUUUGUGGCAUGCAAGCAAGGAGGAGGAGAAACCAUCCUACCCCCAGUCCUCCAGAUUUGCCCAGCUUCUGGUCAGCUUGGCAUGGGUCUUUCUCUGUCUGGGAAAAUCUCCCGGAUAGCUCAGUUGGUUACAGCAUGGUGCUAAUAACACCAAGGUUGCAGAUUCGACGCCCAUAUGGGACAGCUACAUAUUCCUGCAUUGCAGGGGGUUGGUGCCUUCCAUCUCUACAAUUCUAUGAUUCUAUUGUUCAGUUUCAAAAAAUACAUAUAACAAAUACUCCCUAUAACUCCCACCCUCCCCAAGAAACUGAAAAUGUUAAGGAUAGUAGGAGAGGAUAUAUUGAUUAAAUAUUACCCUUCCUUCACUCAUUCUAGUGAGUCAUGCAGCAGAGGAGAUUCCCCUCAAUACAACAAGAAGCUAGUUUGCAGAUUUGUUUGAAUCGCUUUAGUUAUGCAAUCCAGUCUGGCUUGACCAGACUGGAUUAUUCCUGGUGUCCCCUUUGAUGCCUCUGAAAAGAAUAAAGACACAAGAGUCUUUCCUUAAAAGUAACAAGACGUUUACUCACAUUCAUCUCCCAGGAUGAUCCCUGAAGGCAGACUUUAGCUAAUAGUUACAGAACAUAGUGUGAGUUUAUCCCUUAUGGGGAUUGAGCCCAUGGGCUGCUGGCUCAGAGCCAGCAGACAGCAAAACACAUUAAGAGAACAGCCUCAAGAGAACAAAAUGGCUGCAGGAGAGCAGCAUGGCAUCAAACGAGAGAGAUGGCUGUGUGACUCGGCUCUUUUAUGGAGUCAGCCAGGAUCACACCCAUCUCCCUGGUCUCAUGCAGGGGGAGGACACUCCAGACCAGUGGAACAGGAAGUUAUACUGGCUGGAGUAACAUCCUCCUGCCUGUGUCCACUCUAGGGAAACAAGGAACGUUGUAUUUGACUGCUCCAAUGGAUUACAUCCCACAGAAACAUCCCAUGCCUACCCAAAUAUAAUCAAAGAUUAAGCAGAUUUGUGUUAGUUUCUGUUAUCACUGUGCAGCUGCAUGGAGUCACAGGACUCUGUUUACAUUCCAGAGACCUUGCAGUCUCACGGGAGAGGAGACGGGAUGUGACGCUAGUGGUUUCCUUGUUCCUUUGUUCCUUUGUUCAGUUGCUCUCUGCUUUCACAGAGAGAGGAUGUCUUUUCUGUUCUGUGUAGUUUAGAAAUAAAACUCUUUACAGUGUAGCCCAAACCUCUCGUCUCUUCCCUGUGCUGGGAACCCUGCUGGAUAGAAUGUGCUUGAGGCCUUAUCAAAGGCUCAGGUCAUUAAACAUGUCGGAGGCGAUUUCAAAGGCUCAGCUUGGAGGAAGAUGAGGCCUUAUCGGCUUCGCCGAGCGGAGAUUCCGACAAUUUGUACAAUAGUUUAGAGUUGAUAAUAGCUGUUAAAGGUAUUCUACUCUUCUUCUUUACAGAUUGUCCCAGAAUGGUGGGAUUCCCAGAUCCAUAUCUACUCCUUCCAAGGAAGCCCUCAGCCAGGUAAUCAAGCAAGAGUAGUUGGGGUACCGACAUAAGGAACCUUGCUAGUUCUGAGGGGCCUAGUUUGCCACUGGCCCUGUUAUCAUAAAAUUGUUGGGUCCAUUUUAGAGGACAAGUCUUUAUUAUUAAAAAAAAGGGGGGCUUUUAAAAAGGGUAAUGAAGAAAAAAUGUUGAGUCACCUUUAAGAAUACCUGUUCAGUCAGUAAUUGCCAUUUCUGCCCCACUUCUCUAUAGUAUAGAACAAAUCUGAGAAACAGGCUAUAGUAGCGAUAAUAAGUAUUAUGAAUACAUGUAAUAAGUAUUAUGAAUAAGUAUAAUAAGUGUUAUGAAUGUCGGUUUCAAGUGAAAUGAUUGCAGCCUGGAUUCAAUCGCCAACAAAAUUAGAAAGAGUUGCUAUGUCAAAGGAAUUGCUUUAGAUUUCCUCAGCUGACAGUCUCGGCCUAUAAGAGUGGUAAUCAGUCAUUUUUGUCUGCAAUUAGCACUGUUACAGCAGUUUGAAAAUAGGCAUCCUAAUUACAUAAAUUCUAGAAGCACUACAUAUAUUCCCCCAUGUGGAGAUGCUGGUUCACAUAAAUAGCCCUUUCUUUGCAAACCUUUGAGGCUCACAGCAUGGUGGUCACUGGCAAAAGAGAACUGGCCCUAUCAUCUGUGAACCUUACUGGCAACAGUUUAACGCAUCUAUAAGCUCAGGUGACAGCAGCAGAAAGCAGAAGGAGAAAUAAUCACAUAGAAAUGCCUCAUGCGCAAAAACAACAUUUCACUCUCUUCAACAGCCAGGAUCCAAGGAAUCUUGAAACUGUGGCGGGCCACGUAUAGAGAUUUAUUGAUGAAGGUAGGAAGUCAGUUAAAAUUAAAAACAUUUGAAGAAACAAAAGAGUUAUUGGCGGAUUGGUUGCAAUACCACCAGGUAAAUGAUGUAUUUAAGGAAGAUAAAAAGAAAAAUGGUUUUGAUACAGUAAGAUCUAGGCUGGAGAUUGAUUUAUUGGAUGAUACGAGGAAAAUAUUAUCAAAAUUGUACAAAUUGCUUUUGGAGUGGCAUACUAAAGAUGAGGAGGUUAAAGGGGUGAUGAUACAAUGGGCUAAAGAUUUUGGAUAUAAUAUUCAGUUAGAAUCUUGGGAAAGGCUGUGGAAUGAAGGUAUUAAUUUUACUACAUGCAGUGCACUUAAAGAAAAUGUGGUGAAAAUGAUGUAUAGAUGGUAUUUAACACCAUCAAAACUUGCUAAAAUACAAGAUCUAACGAGUGUUGGAAAUGGAAAGAAAAGGAAGGUAUCUUUUAUCAAAUGUGGUGGACUUGUAAAGAGGUAAAGUCUUUCUGGGAAAUUAUAUAUAAUGAGUUAAAGAAAAUGUUCAAAAACACCUUUGUUAAAAAAUCAGAAGCCUUUUUUACUGGGUAUAGUAGUUGAAGAGAUACCAAAAAAAGAUAAAAGACUGUCCAUGUAUGCAACAACAGUGGCAAGCACCCUUCUAGCCUCAAAAUGGAAACAACAAGAAGUACAUACCAACGAAAGAAAAGUGGCAGGUGAAAAUGAUGGACUUUGCGGAACUGGCGAAGCUGACGGGAAAAAUCCGAAACCAGCACGAUCAAGCAUUCCAAAAAGACUGGAGUAAAUUUGCACAGUAUUUGAAAGAUCAUUGUAAGCAAUCAACAACAUUAGUAGGGUUAUCUGAAGACUUGUAAUGAGAAAUUUUUUACCUUUCUAUAUUUAAAUUUUGAGGAAUUUUGUAAUGAGUUAUAUUAGAAUUGGAAUAUAUCUAAAAUGCUGUGAUAGAAAGGUUACUUUUGAAAGCCAAGAGGUGGGAGGGAAGGAAGUCAAUAGGCUCUAAAGAGCCAAAGAGGUAAAGUGGAUAAUAAUGAUGUGACUAUAUAUGUUUAAAUAGAAAAUUAAUAAAAAUCAUUUAUAUAUAUAAAACAAAGAAACUGUGAGCCCAUGAAGACUUUAAACUCUGCCCCUGCCACUCCAAGAACAGCCAAAUUCCUUUCCCACACCACAUGAGAAGAGGUCUGCCUCUCAGGGCCUUCUGACAGUUCCCUCACCACAAAAAGCGAGGUUACAGGGAACCAGGCAGACUGCCUUCUCGGCAGGGGUGCCCUCCCUGUGGAAUGCCCUCCCAUCAGAUGUCAAGGAGAUAAAGAGCUACACAAUUUUUAGAAGACAUCUGAAGGCAGCCCUGUAUCAGGAAACUUUUAAUGUUUGACGUUACAUUAUGUUUUUAUAUAAGCUGGAAGCUGCCCAGAGCUGCUCAGGAAAGCUAAUCCAGAAUGCGGCAGCUAGACUGGUGACUGGGAGCGGCCACCGAGACCACAUAACACUGGUCUUGAAAGACCUACAUUGGCUCCCAGUACAUUUAUGAGCACAAUUCAAAGUGUUGGUGUUGACCUUUAAAGCCCUAAACGGCCUCGGCCCAGUAUACCUGAAGGAGCGUCUCCACCCCCAUCGUUCUGCCCGGACUCUGAGGUCCAGCGCCGAGGGCCUUCUGGCGAUUCCCUCACUGCGAGAAGCAAAGCAACAGGGAACCAGGCAGAGGGCCUUCUCGGUAAUGGCACCCGCCCUGUGGAACACCCCCCCAUCAGAUGUCAAAGAGGUAAACAACUACCUGACAUUUAGAAGACAUCAGGGAAGUUUUUAACGUAUGACAUUUGAAUGUAUUUUUUAUCUUUGUUGGAAGCUGCCCAGAGUGGCUGGGGAAACCCAGCCAGAUGGGUGUGGUACAAAUAAUAAAUUAUUAUUAUUAUUAUUAUUAUUAUUAUUAUUAUUAUUAGCACUGUGUCAACCUCUUUGCCACCACACUUCCAUCCCUCUCCAUCACAGUAUGCUGCAGUGACUCAGCCGGAUGGAGGUCCGCUGAUGGAUGCAGUCCACCAUGCUGUCUGCUGCUGUCGUCACAACAUCCAAGCAGAUGCCUAGUGGAAGUGUACAAGCAGGACCUGAGUGCAACAGCACCCUCUUGUGAUUCCCAGCAACUGGUAUUCAGAAGCAUGCAACCUCCCACAGUGGAAGCAUGACAUAACCAUCAUUGCUAAUACUCAUCAAUAGCCAGUCCUCUGUGCCAUUCAAGUUGGUGGCCAUUGCAGAUGUCAAUUCCACAGUUUUACUAUGUGAAACAGUACUUGCUGUUGUCUGUGCUGAUUCUUCCAGUAUUCACCUGACUGGAUGGCCCCAAUGGAGUUUUAGUAUUAUGAGAAAGGGUUUCUUUCCUUCCUAUCCAUUUUCUGCUAAGCUAAAAUCUACUCAGAGUUUAGUGGGGCUUAAUCUCAGCUAAAUGCAUGUAAGAUUGCAGCUGAAGGGGAUUUUUGGAUCUUGGUCCAUUUUCUGCGACCACUGCUUAUGUCCAAAUUAAAUAUAUAUUUCCCCAAAAGUAAUUUUAGACCAACAUGUCUUUUUUAAAGCACCAUUGCAUCAUAAAGCUGUGAUGUAUUGUUUGUUUGUCCCAUGCUGAAAUAAUUAAAUCUGAAAGGUGAUGAUUGCUUUUGAACAUCUGUCUUUCGCUUUCAGAUUCUUCACACUCUGUUGAUUGGGUUAUGCUUUGUAUUAUUUCAAUACCCACAACUGUCAAGAGAAAUGGGGGUGGGUGGGGGAGUUCUCAUACAAAGUGAUGAUCCAAAGUCAGAAGCUGUAGUUCAUUUUUAAAAUAAAUGGUAAUAGAGUAUGACAGCUCCAGCUCUGAACGAAUUGUUUUCUGCAGUUUUGAAGGGCUGAAUUUGUUGCAAAUUGGAAAGUCGUCUAUUCUUUCUUCCAUUUGAAAAAUAAAGAUGGUGAGAAAGACUGUUUUUUUCUAAUUUAAUGUCAAUAAAAUGUCUUUAAGCCUUUUGGAAGCUGCCAUGCAUUGGUUGUUAAGAGAAAACAAAACAAAGCAAGAGUUAAUAAUUUGCAUCAGCAGUGUAGAACAAUAUGAUGUUGUAAUCUUGCCACUGCACAUCACUCUUACUUAAGAAAAUAAGACUUUGAAGAGCAUCUAGCUUGGUGCAUGAAUGUAUAUUUAUUUGGGGGGGCAGGGUUUCCUCUGUUUCUUAACCUGGUCUCAGGAAUCAACUUCAGCCAAAAAAAAUCUAGUUAAGCCAUAGUUCUACUGAAAACAUUUGUUUGUUUAUUCUAAACUGCAUAUGAUGCCUGCUAGCUAACAAUGGCUUUUGUGAUAGUUAGCAAAUACAUAAAUACAUUGCAAAUACAUAAAACAUGUUUUCUCCUGCUCUUGGUAUGUCUCCUUUUCAAUUAAACCUUGUUGGGUGGGGGGAGAAAAAGGAAAUAUAUAAAACAUGUUUAUUUCCCCAGACUGCCUUGGGGCAAAGAGCAGGUUUCCUUUCUGUUAUUGUGUGUUCUUGCUCAUGCAUGUACAUGUAUGCACAAAAGCCCAGGUACCCCUCUGACACAUAUUUUUUUUUGGGGGGGGGUGUUGAGAUUAAAGCCAUUGUACCCCAAUGAGUCAUUUGCUACCUAUACCAGAAGGAAUUAGGAACCAGACAAUUAGCUAGAGCUCAGAAAAAGAAUUUGUGUUUGUUUUUUAAUUGCCAAAUAGGAAAAUGUUCAUUAGUGUUCAAACAGUUAUUAAAAAGAAAGAGGCUGGCUAUACAGAGAGUAUUGAAACAGGGCCGUUAACUUAGAAGUUAAGUUAAUGUCAAUGGCAGAUGUAGGAGAUAUGUGAUCUCAGAUGAAAAGGUGUGGUCUUCCCCCAGCCAAGGAAGGCAUAUGUCUGAUAGUUAAAUCUUUAGGUAAAGGUAAAGGGAUCCCUGACCAUUAGGUCCAGUCGUGGCCGACUCUUGCGUUGCGGCGCUCAUCUCGCUUUAUUGGCCGAGGGAGUCGAGUCGGCGUACAGCUUCUGGGUCAUGUGGCCAGCAUGACUAAGCCGCUUCUGGUGAACCAGAGCAGCACACGGAAACACCGUUUCCCUUCCCGCCAGAGCGGUACCUAUUUAUCUACUUGCACUUUGACGUGCUUUCGAACUGCUAGGUUGGCAGGAGCAGGGACCGAGCAACGGGAGUUCACCCCAUCGCAGGGAUUCGAACCACCAACCUUCUGAUUGGCAAGUCCUAGGCUCUGUGGUUUAACCCACAGCUCCACCCAUGUCCCAGUUAACUCUUUACUGACAUGAAAAUCACAGCAGCUUUCACAGUGCUUCAGAUACACAUGAACACACACACACACACACACACCUCUAGCCUCUAGGCAGCUGCCCACUGCUCUAAGCCCUGCACACAGCAGUUGCACCAAGAGGGAGACCCCACUCCCUGUUAGCUUAUAUACCCUCCCUUGACAUGUUGUGCCUGGAAUUUCUCCUGCACAGAAGUCGUUCUUCUCUUCCUGCUUCAAACCCCUUCUGGUUCUUGGAGACAGUGGGGCAUGGGAAGGUGGGGAGUCUACUGACCCACCUGACAGCUGAACAGUCCCUUUUUCUUCCAUCACACUGCAUGCACCUUUCUCUGUCUCAGACUGCCCUGCCUCCCCUGUCUUGCAUGUGGCAUCAAUCCUCAGAAAUCACUAGUCCCCUCUCCUGGGUCACUCUCCGGGUCUCCUGCCUCCACCACACACUCUUUGGAAUCUUGCCAGUCCCUGACAGAAGGCAAUAGCAACAAGGAUAAUAAUUCUUGUUGGGAGCAAGAGGGAAGAAGAGAACGGAAAAAGAAAAAGAGAGUGCCGAUAUUACCACUCCUAGAGCAAAAAAAGGGGGGGGAGAAAGGGGACUUAUGGGGGGAUGCUUGUGAAUUGUGGAUUGUCUUAGGGGCUAACCAGCUGAGAUGCUUUUGGUGGAGUCAACAAUGGAUUCACAUCCCUGUCAACAAGGUACAGCAACGAAGCGCCGAGCUGUCACAUAAAGCAUAUGCAAACUAGGCUAAUGGAUGAACCAUGUGAUGAAGAUUGCUAGCAAAAGAGCAUUUUAUCAGAAAUACCUUGAUCAGGGAGGCUGCUGCUGAUCUGUGGUCAGCUGGUGGAUGCAAUGGGUUUAUCUAACUUUUCCAUACUCAUAGUAGCCCCACUGAAAUCAGGUCCAUUGGAUUCAAUGAGUCAGUUCUGAGUUUGAGUUAAUUGAACACAGCCUGUUCUAGUUAUGUAUAUAAGCACAUACCCAUUAAUAGUCUUAAGAACCCACAUAGCAAGUAAUGUAAGGUCUAGUUCUGGUUGCAAGACCAUGGGCUUGCAUCCUAAGAUAAGUUAACUUAAGGAACUACAUAGAAGGAAAGUUUCUCAUUCCUCCAGCAUUCCUCCCCUUGCCCCAUGCCUUUUCCCACAUUGUUUAGGAGGGUCUCCUGCAACAUCUGAAGAGACCUGUCAGGGGUAGGAAUGGAAGGAUCUUUCAGUUUCUCAUAUUGUCAAUAUUAAAUUUACUUCUCCAUAUUCUGCAGCAACUUCUGGGGUUUUUUAAUCCUCAUGAAAAUUGCAAAAUUCAAAAAAAAAAUAGGAUGAGUACAAUUUUCAAAGGAAAGCUGUGUUUCAGUUUACAUAUUGCUUCAGAAAAUGUGAAUUUGAUAGAUUUGGCUUUGAAUGCAUACUGAAUUGAAUUUACUUCAUCCCUACUGGAGGUGGGGUUAUCUAGGUUUGUGCUGGGGGAAAGAGAUAGUAAACUUUUCUUCCAUGAACCUUCUUUUCUUAUCUCAAGUUGCAAGCCAUGAUUAUUUGCAGAUAGACUCCAAUAUGAAUGACGACUUCUUCUUCUUCUUCUUCUUCUUCUUCUUCUUCUUCUUCUUCUUCUUGCUGUGCCUCUUACUAACAAGUGGGUAGCUUAUUGAGAUUUUAUAAGAUGUCUUCUGUGGUUUCCAGCCAAAUUUCUUUAUUGAAAUAUACAUUGAGACAGCAGCGGCAUUAAAGUUCACCUCAAGGUAAAGUUAUAUUAAGAUAUAAUUAACCAUUUUAUAACAGAUCAUAAUUGUGUUUCCAUACAGGGAGAAAAUAUUUUGAUUUCCACAAUAAUUAUAGGAAAGCAAUGCAGUUAGCGGCAGCAGUGAGCUUAUGCAGUGUGUAAGGGUUUCAAUCAAAGUGGAACUACUUGUAGUUAUCUCUGUUUUAUCCCUUAUGUUUUUUAAUGAUUUGUGGCAAUCAAGAGUACUCUUAUGAGGGAAAAUAAUCAAUGAGCAGAUUCACAACUUGUGAGAAUGUUAGUCUCCUGCAUUUAUAGCCGCCUUGCUUCUAUUGCUUCCUUUUAAAAGUAGGAACAUAAUGAUUUGAAAUGGAUGUGAUUGUGAGUGGUCAGUGAUAAAAAAAGGGGCAAGCCUCUCUCCUGACAAGGAGCUUGCCCUCCCACUGUUUUGUUGUUGUUGUUGUUGUUGUUGUUGUUGUUGUUGUUCAAUUUAUAUACUACUGUUUAUCAAAAGAUCCCAGGAUGGUGUACAACAUUAAGAACAUAUUUUAUGGUGGGCCAGAGAUGGAAAGAAGAGAAAGUCCCUGUGGUGUUUGCCCAUUCAUUUAGAGGCUGUCUGUACAGGGGAAAAGAAAGGGUUAAAAAUGUAGACCAAUAGGAAAGCUGGAGGCGGAGCCUACAUGUGUAUAAAAGGGCUUAGCCUGAGGUUUGUUAGAGCUGUUGGUGGGUAGUUGGUUGGUUUUAGUGGGUUGGCUGGUUGGCAAAGGCAGUUGGAGAAGCAGUUGAUAGGCAGUUGGAAAUAGAGAGACAGUUAGGGCAGUGGGUUCUUAAGUGAGGGGAGGUAGAAAAGAUAGAGAGAGGAAAAUAAGACUAAGAAAGUAAAGAGUAAUGUUUGGAAUACCGUAAAAGUUUGUGUCUGAAAUAAAAUACACUCUUCUUUAUUACCUUGAGAACCAGACUGAGACUGGAGUGAUUUUACCGGGGAGGACCUGGUUGGUGGCAGCGGAUUAGUGGUGUACGGGUCAGUAGUCCGUGAGACGACCAGGGGCUCCAUACGAACACCACAGUCUCGACCAGAGACGAAUGAUUGAUGAAGAUGAUAGACUAUGCUGAAAUGGUGAAACUGACUGGGGAAAUCAGAAACCAGGAAGAGAAGAACUUUAAGAAGGAAUGGGAAAAUUUUACAAUGUAUUUAAGAGAACACUGUAAACAACAAAAAACUUUGGCAGGAUUUGAGUAACGCUUGUAAUGUACUAAAAAUUAUGGUAAAAAGGGAUUAUUUAAGAAAAACAGAGAAGAUAGGAGAAGCAGUUGGAAAAAGAUUGAUAAUGGUAACCAUGGAAGGGCGGAGGGGAGUCAAAAGGUUUCAGGGAAUCCUAAAUGAUGAUGCUGAUGUUUAAUGUUUAAAUUUGCAAUGUAAAACUUAAUACGAAAGAAUUGACAUAAAAGUCAAACAAUAAAAAGAACGUAUUUUAUGGAGCAUACUAAUAAAAACAUAACACAGAGCAUAAAAAUAGACAGCUUACUACAGUGGUACCUCUGGUUAAGUACUUAAUUCUUUCCGGAGGUUCGUUCUUAACCUGAAACUGUUCUUAACCUGAAGCACCACUUUAGCUUAUGGGGCCUCCUGCUGCCGCCGUGCCGCUGGAACACGAUUUCUGUUCUCAUCCUGAAGCAAAGUUCUUAACCUGAAGCACUAUUUCUGGGUUAGCGGAGUAUGUAACCUGAAGUGUAUGUAACCUGAAGCAUAUGUAACCCGAGGUACCACUGUAUUAAAUUAUCAUGGUAACAGUUCCCACCAACACACACACACACACACACACACACACACACAUUUAACAGGCAAUGGGUAAAGACCUGGGUAAACAGGAAUGUUUUCUGCCUAAAGACAUGUAACGAUGGCGCCAGGCGAGCCUCUCUGGGGAAAGCAUUCCUUAGUCAAGGGAAGGGUGUCCUCUGAGGGUUUCAAGAUGGCCUACAUUGCCAAAGAGAAAAUGAGGGGUAGAAGAGCCAGAGAAUAGCAUUGGAGGUAUCGGGCUUAAUUAUUUCUUUUUAAGCAACUACGAAAUCUCUUAUGCAUACUUUAAAAAAAUAUACUUAAAUUACCCUGAAUCAUUUAUGGGGCUUGAGCAUCUAUAAAUAUUAUCAAGUACAGGAUAGGAAAAUUAGCUCAAGAACCCAUAAGCAGAAGGUGUUGUUUCCCCCUCCUUGUUUCUGAAGCAGAACAAAGGAAAUUAAAAUUAUAUACAAAUGGGGAAUAAAUGUUUGGUAUUUGCAUACAAAUUAAACAGCAAAGUAGCCCACUUUGAUUUUAAGAACUGCAUACUCCUUUAGAAGUAAAGUGCAUAGACAUUUUGAAAUGGAGCAAAGGAACUCUUAAAAAAAACACAACUAAUUAUAGAUUUGGAAAUUGGGAGAAAGGACUGCUGCUUCAACCAGGAAAGUACAUGCGACAGAACAAAUGGUGCUGUUUCCAAAUAACCAAUUCUUGUAGGAAAUAAUGACCUAUUGGCUAAGAGAGAGAAAAGAGAGGAACCAGUAAUGUAGUCCCAGCAUAUGAGCUCGUACAAUACCAUGCAGUUUAAUUUUAUUAAUUGACACUGAUUCCUAGCAUUUGCAUUCCACAGCAGACAGAAUGAAUACGUUGCUUUCUCAGAAUGGAAAUAUUUGCUCACUGCUUGUAUUCAAACAGGAUGUGCCUGUGUGAUUUCUUCACAUACGGAAAAGAAGAAGAAGAAGAAAAAUAAUUAUGCUGCAGCAAAAACACUCAGGUGGGUAGUUAUGCAGAUGUGAGAGCGUUUCCAGAAAUUGGACUCUAUUUAUCUUUAUAUUUGUGAAAAACCCCGUAAACAUGCAAACCUUGUAAGAGUGAUUGGCUGCUAGCUCUGCAUAAACACUGCAUACCCUCCAACCUUUCUCCAAUGAAAAUAGGGACGCCCUAUUCUAGGUAUAGGCAAACUCAGCCCUCCAGAUGUUCUUUGACUACAAUUCCCAUCAUCCCUGACCACUGGUCCUGUUAGCUAGGGAUCAUGGGAGUUGUAGUUCCAAAACAUCUGGAGGACCAAGUUUGCCUAUGCCUGCCCUAUUCAAUAGUAGUACAGUGGUGCCUCGCAAGACAAAAUUAAUCCGUUCUGUGAGUCUCUUCGUCUUGCGGUUUUUUCGUCUUGUGAAGCACGGCUAUUAGCAGCUUAGUGGCUAUUAGCGGCUUAGCGGCUAUUAACGGCUUAGCGGCUUUAAGAAAAAGGAAACAAACUCGCAAGAACUCGCAAGACGUUUCGUCUUGCGAAGCAAGCCCAUAGGGAAAUUCGUCUUGCGGAAUGACUCAAAAAACGGAAAACUCUUUCGUCUAGCGAGUUUUUCGUCUUGCGAGGCAUUCGUCUUGCGGGGCACCACUGUAGUAGUAUUAAUAAUAAUAAUAAUUUUAUUAUUUAUACUCCACCCAUCUGACUGGGUGGCUUCCAACAUAUAUAAACACAGAAUAAAACAUUACACUUUAAAACAAAAACAAAAAAACUUCCCUGUUCAGAUGUCUUCUAAGGUUGUAUAGUUACUUAUCUCCUUGGCUCAAGAGUCACAUAACUCCCUACCCUCCAACAUUCCUCUGAUGAAAUAGGAGUGUCCAAAGGAACCGUGAAACAUUACAGGAUCAAAUCAGAAACUGGGACGUCUUCUGUAAAUCCAGGGCUGUCCCUGGAAAAUAGGGACACUGACAUUGUAUUUUUUAUAUGUGGAGGGCCUAUGUUAGAUUUCAUGUUAAUGACCAGGUUGCAAAGAGGUAUUUCAGGGGCACCAAGGGCUCUGACAUGCUCUGUGGAUUUUGUACUUUUUUCUUUGAACAGAUGAAUUAGCUGUAAGCUGCACAAUGCCACUCAUAAAACUCAGUUGAGAGUAGUGUCAGUUGAGUGCUAGUGGUUGCUAGGUUGCGGAGGUCCUUGUGACACGCCCUUCAUUGUGACACCUCCCUCUGCUGGCUCCUUGGUCACAGGGGCUCUAGAGGCAUAGUGAUCUCCUUUGGUUUGAUCAUUCAGCAAGUGAGAGAGAAGUGGAUGGAGAUGUAAGUAGACUUUCUCAUCAGCAUCUGCAUUCUGUGCUGGUAAUGCUCCCUGACAGUCUUAGGAAACAUUUAAAAUAAGGACCCUGAUUGGGAUGUGUGGCAGAAUGAGUGUCCCACCAUCUGCUGGGCUUGCCAAACAAGCCUCUGGGAAAAACUUGGCCUCUGGUGGCAGAUGCUGCACUGCUCAAGCUCCUUCCAUUGGCAUUGGCUGUCUAGUCUGCCUCUGCACAUGAGUCUGGGAAUGUUCUGAUCAGUUCACAUUGAGUUCAGUACCCUGACCUGUUCUUAACGCAUUGUUGACCACAUCUACGGAACGCGAUUGUUAUGUUCUUUCAUGUCAUGCAAUAUCAAUCAUUCGUAAUAGUUUAAGUCUUGAUAAUCAAUCACUAGUUAAUAGUUUAACAAGGAGGAUUUCACGCCUGUCCAAUUCUGUGUUCCUUUUCCCAACCUUUAAUCUAUUGAUGACUAAUGCCUAUAUUCAACCUUUGCAUUGUAUUUGUGUUAACCAAUCAGCAACAAGCACAUACAGUGGUGCCCCGCAAGACGAAUGCCUCGCAAGACGGAAAAACCGCUAGACGAAAGGGUUUUCCGUUUUGAAGUUGCUUCGCAGGACGAAUUCCCCUAUGGGCUUGCUUCGCAAGACGAAAAUACCUUGCGAGUCUUGAGAUUGUUUUUUCGCUUUUCCCCCUUUAUCUAAUCUGCUAAGCCUUUAAUAGCCUUUAAUAGCCUUUUAGCAGCUAAUCCCCUAAGCCUUUAAGCCUUUAAUAGCCGCUAAACAGCUGAUAGCGCUAAUAGCGCUAAUCCGUCAAUGGGCUUGCUUCGCAAGACGAAAAAACCGCUAGACGAAGACUCUUGCGGAACGGAUUAAUUUCGUCUUGCGAGGCACCACUGUAUGUGGUAAUGCUGUAAUAUUCAAUAAAAGAGACUCACCGAGACCUGCUCGGUAGAUGCCUCCCAUAUGACACUUGCCAUUCGUCUGUCGCUUAUUUCAACCCAACACUAGUCAGCUUCUCCAUUGUUAGGCCAACACACUGCUGAGCUAGGCAAAAAGCACUCCAGCACCAUGAACACCCUUGUCAGCACAGUUGCAGAGCAGCAUUGGAGUGUAUCACUUUCACUUCUGGAUGAAGUGUAGCACCUGCCACACUUCAAAGAGAAGAGAAAGGAGCUUGCCAACACUGGGAGCAUCUCACUGCCCCCAAAACUGAGGCUGAGUCAAAUAAUAAUAAUAAUAAUACCCUGCCCUCCCCAGCCAGAGCCAGGCUCAGGGCAGCUAACACCAGUAAAAUUACAUUACAACUAUAAUAGGGGGAAAAAACAACCAACUUAAAAUGCAGGUUAAAAUGCAAUUUAAAAUGCAGCCUCAUUUUAAAAGUAGUACAUAGAUCAAAACCAUAAGGGGAGGGAAAACAUAAGGGUCAGACUGAGUCCAAACCAAAGGCCAGGCGGAACAGCUCUGUCUUGCAGGCCCUGCGGAAAGAUGUCAAGUCCCGCAGGGCCCUAGUCUCUUGUGACAGAGCGUUCCACCAAGUCGGGGCCAGUACUGAAAAGGCCCUGGCCCUAGUUGAGACCAAUCUAACCCCCUUGUGACUUGGGACCUCCAAAGUGUUGCCCUUUGUGGACCUUAAGGGACAGGCCUCCCCAAAGUUAUGCCCAGCCAAGUCUUGUGAGAUGUCACCAAGUGUUAUAAGCAUCACAAGCUUUUUCCACACAUUUUUGUGAGAUUUUGCUAAGUCUCACGAGACUUGGUGCACAGUAAAGCUGGCAGCGGUGUUGGGGGGGGGCUGCAGGUCUCUGCCUCACAUAGUGAAAUGGCUUGGAUGAGCCCUGUAUCACCCUUUUGCAGCUGUCUGCACUCAACAUGUGGAUGUCAAGGGAUGCUGUGGGGAAGGAAUGAGGAGUUGGGAAUAGGGCAACAGUUCAGAGUCACUUCUUGCACACAACACAUGGUGGCGGGGAGCUAAUUUCUUUGCCAAAAAAAAAUUGUGGCACUUUUUAAUGGUGACAUCCAGGAAUGCAAGUCAUUUUCUGAGUAGAGGUAGGAGCCUAAUUAAAGAUGCAAUUGAUGACUUCUCAGUUUUUGAUAUAAAUUUAUCAACAGACGCUUCUACUUGAAGGGCCAUACUAAAAAGCAAAAGUUAGAUUGCUGGCAUGGCAUGCACACUAUCCCAUUAAAGGAACUUGUUUCAUUUGCUCAGCCUGCAAGAAAACUAAUUAAGUCAAAUGCAGUUCCAACCACAUCAUCUGAUCUGUAAACAAAAUUGAGGGCUACAAAUCGAGAGUAGGCUUCAGAGUAGCACAGAAGAAGAAAGAACACCCCCCCGUGUGUGUGUGUGUGUGUGUGUGUGUGUGUGUGUGUGUUUGUGCAGUGUGGGAGAACAGCAGUGCUUCAGACCAUGUAACAAUUAACUAGAAAAACCAUAGAGUUGUGUGCCUAGGAGGCACCAGAGCAACAUGUGAUCCUGACAAGGCAGCAUCUCCUGUACCCAAAAAAAACCCUUAAGAGAUCAUAGCUUGCCAGAAACAGGGAAGUGAAUGAUGGGAGCUAUAGAACUGUGUAUAAGGCCUGUUGGUCUGUGAUGAAGCAGUGGUGUGAAUGCUGGAGGAAGGUCUUGAGAAAGCUAUUGGGAAGGGUGGAUGUCAUGCUGAGUGUCCUUGACAUUCACCCAAUCAACUGGAAUUCACCACAGAAAGCCUUUCAUAACCAACUACCUCCUUCCAAAAGCAAGUCCAUGCCUAGCAAAGGUGGCUUAACCAAAGCUGCCAGGAAAGACGAAUGCUUUGUUAGAAUUCCUGCUCUAUGAUUGCAGUCAUAGGAUUGUCGUCUUUUGCAUGACGGUAUAUGUUUUGACUCCACAGAGUAGGAAGUGACGGAAACAGGAUGUUUGUGUUACUGUGUUCCGUGAAGUGGGACUAUUGUCCUUUGUUCUUUUUCUCUUUGCUGUCUGAUGCUAGAGAGAGGGAGCCAUGUUGCAGUGCUCCGUGUGUGUUUAUAUGUAAAUAAAGUAGAUUAGCCAACAUGCUGAGUUCUGUCACGCGCAUGAUGCGCAAACUCUGCGGAUCUCUAAGUGUGCCGGUGUCUGUAGGCAUCGGUCACUGUGAUGUUCGGGAUGAAGAAAGAUUUUGAAGCUCCCAAACAAAAGACCAGGAGGGAGAGAACAUGCCAGUCGGGCAUGUGUCUCUGCCAGGGUCCUACUCGAGUGUAGGCUGAACCCCUGACAUGCUUGACACCAUUUCUAGCUCAAGAUUUAGAGGAAAGAGAGGGAGAACUAGUUCCCCAAUACAUUUUUUCUUUUCUUUCUUUGUUGGUAAGAUGGAGGUGUUUUAAAAUAGAUUAGAUUCAGAAAGUACAGGGAGGGAGAGAGAUGGCCUGAAAGCGUUAAUACUGCUGUUACAGUACAUUAAAAAAUAAAUAAAUGCAAAAGUGAGUGGAUCACAUUACAAAACAGGACUGGGAGCAAUACCCUUUGACAAUAAUACAGAACACCAUUUCAUAUACUACCAAGAACAAUUACAGGAUGUCAUCUCGUCUUCUUUUCUUCAUUUAAAACAAUAGACCACCAAAGAGCCCACUCAUUAGAAACACUGCUUCAAAUGUCAGCUGUUCAACAGGGACUCAUUAUAACAUGUAAUGUUAUCAUUACACUGUUUAUUUUUGCUCUGAUUCAAUCACUUGUUGGCUAGGCAAGGUUCUUGGUGGAUCUGCAAGCAUAUUAAUCCUGCUGCUAUUUCCCACACGACACAAGUGGGUCAGGAGCUCGUCCGAAACAGCCAGCAUAAAUGAUGUGCCAUCCUUACGGUAAUGAUAGAUUCCUGGAUUCCCUUGUUGUUUGGGGGUGGGGUUUUUUGGGGGGGGCUUUCAAUAUAAUUCCUUAUGUUAUUUAAAGAGCGCAGAAACACACACACACACACACACACACACACACACACAGACCAUUUUAAAAGGUUUUAAUAAAAGUUUUCCAAAGACCCACCCCCAACUUUAUUUAUUUAUUUGAGUGGUGAACAACACCCAAAGAAGCAAGAAUGAUAAUAAUUAAAGAAUCAAGCUCCCUCCCAUCCCCUUUGUGAGAGUUUUGCAUUUCGCGUACACCGAGGAGCUCACAAACUAAUGAGAAACACAAAGGAGGGGAAGGGGAAAAGAGGUGUGAGAGGAGAACAGGUUCUCAGUUACACUUAUAGAUUCUGCCUGUUUAGGAAGGCCAUUAGGGAGAAGCAUAAGUACCACUCACCUGGUGGAGAGAGAGGUCCACUGGUGGGGUGGCAUGCAAUGAGAACCUGCCAUAAGGAUCUGCUGGUGGUGUCAUGAGCCCUACAAUGCUGUCAGGGCUGAGCAUGAAUUGGCAGCCCCUGUUGAAAGAGGAGGAAGAGGAAGAAGAAAUAGAGGGGUGCAGCUAAAUGGGGGGACUUCGGUUUCUAUCCUGACUUCAGCCAUUUUGGAUGGGGAAUUGGGUGUGCCAGAUCUCCCCCUACCCUUUUCCUGUGGAGUAGAGUGCCUGUCAGGAGUCCCAGUGCCUGUCAGGAGUCUUGAUAACAAAGCAAGCAUAGUUAAUUAAAAAGGAAGAUUUAUUGCAAAAAUAGAGUUCGCCGGACGGCUCUAGCAAGCCGCCAGCCUUAUCAGUCAUGAUGACCCUUCUGAAGACUGCUUCCUAUGAGACCAGAAGCAACUGAACUUUCCCUUCUGACGUUUCAUUUUGCUUCCUGUCUUGGAGCCCUCCCAUUCGCGAGACCUUGGACUGAGAGGGUCAGCUCCCACCUCUUCCCCAUUCUCUGAGGGGCUGUCUCUUAGCUCUUUCCCGCCUGAUAAACUGCUUCCUUCUCUGUUCACGGAAUUUUGCACUUCUUGAGAGCAUUGGCAGGCUUCUGGCUCACUCUCAGUCAUUCCCUUAUCAAUCCACAUUCCAAGGGGCGGGGAGUUUGCACUCGCCAAUGCUCAUCCUGCCUGGCAGUUAACCCUCUCUGUUCCUGGCUGCUUUCUUUGGCUGAUUGACAACCUUCCCUGAGAUCUGGCUGCAAACCAUCCCUGGGAGCUGGCUCAUUCACGACAUUGCCUCAGUGCAGGCUAGAAAGGUCUUGGAGCAGCCAAGUGGGGCAGGUGGGGUCAGAGGCAGCUACAAAUCAACAAGAGCUGCCUUAGAACAAGGUACCACAUUCACAGAGAGUUGGAAGCCGCCUCCAGCAUGGCUGCAUAUUAGAUAGAUGUAUUUAGGAAUUUGGCCUUGCUGAGUACUUAUUAAUCAUUUUGCAGUGAUAUAUUUCCAUUAGAUGUUCUAAUGCAAACCUAGGCUCUGGAGUAUAUCUUCUUCUUUUAAAAAGUAUGUUAAAAAUCUCUCAGGAGAGCUUAAAAUUCAAAAGCGGAGAUAGCAUCACUUACUCAUGUUCUUCACAUCUUCAGAAAUGACACUCUCUAGUUCUUAGUAGCUGCUCCAGGGACUUUGAAGAUUUGCAAAAUGAUAUUGCAAAGAAGAACAUAAUCUAGUCCACUCCUUCUACAAAAGAAACACGAUUCCUUGGAUUUAAAAAUGAUUACAGAUGGGGGAGAUGGGAGGUUAUUGUUUCGUUAUUGUUUUUGUUCGUGUGUAUUUUGUGGUUUUAUCUUGUAUUUUUAUGCUGUGAACCACCCUGAGAUCUGUGGAUGAAAGGCAGUAUACAAAUUUAAUUAAUAAUAAUAACAAUAAACACAACAAGCACACACAUUGUAAGCCUCAAAUAGCUGAUAUCAUUCCUAUUUAUGAAAUUAAUAUAUUGUUUCCAGUUGCCUGCAGUCUACAAACAUGCUGUAUGUAGGCUGAUAAAAGCCUUCUCUUUGAGGUAGAGCUGAAUCACAGAGGGGCUUUCUUACCUUUAUCCAGAGAAAAUGUUAGCGCUCUGCCACAUUGUGUGCAAUAUACUGUAGUGUUAUCUCCAAAUGCCUCUAAAUACCGGCUGCUCAACAGUGGUGAGAGAAGUCUAUUGCCCUAGCUUUUUGCAUAUGCAGAGGCAUCUCAUUGGCCAAUGUGGAAAACAAGACACUGCAGUAGAUGGACCUUUCAACCAUUGCAACAGAUUGCAAAAAAAACAACAACCCCAAAACAAAACAAAAAGACACAAUAUGGGGGGGGGGGGAUACUCCAUUGAUAACCACUUUACUAUUUAAUUCAUGGUAUCCCCACUGGAACCAUCCUUGACCAAACUAAACUUUUAAUAACAGGCAUGGUAUAAGUCUCCAAAAAAAAUUAAUAUGAAAAGCAGUUUCAGGAAGAUGAUAAUCUGGUUGGAGGAGGUGCUGCCUCACUCUUUCUCCACAUGUUUGUCCCCCACCAGAGCAAAGUACUUGCACAGCAACGGGGGGAGGGUUAAACAACAAUUUUGCUGUUCCUCUCUCAGAUCUGCAACCCGUCAGGGCUACAUUACACUAAAAAUAAAAGAGAAUAGCGCCCAUCAGGAGACCGUUACACAAAGCUGCCUUGCGACCUCAAGUUUGGCUCCUAAUCAAGAGCUGAUUGGGAAUGUAAUUUGGCUUUAAGUCAGCCUGCCCUCUUUCUCGUAUGGUGUGUAAGUUCAGCACUGCAUGUUAACUGAAAAAUCUUCUCUGCAGCUGAUCUUCCUUUAUUUAAUGUCACCACUCUUCAUCAAUUCCAUUCUUUUAAAAUAGAUGCAAUUAAAUAUAAGGCUCCCAAAGUCAUUUUCUGAACAUGGGGCUUGUAAAAAUUAUUUCCACACAGCGUCACUUGUUUCCUUCACCUUUUUUUAUACAGUGUAUCUGAGUGAAAAGAAAAAAUAGUGCCAUGUCUAGAUAAAUUUGUCCUUUUGACAUUUUGCUUAGGGCAAAAGCAAUUCAUGUUUCUUUGUUGCAGGCUCCUUCAGAUCACUGGAGGCCUGACUCAAACGUCCAACACAUUUUCAAUACAGCAGUCCUUUUUCGUGUGUGUGUGUGUGUGUAGCUGUAAAUAUAAAGGAAAUGAGGAAAUGGAUACUAGGCAGAAAAAUGAUUCUUUAGGCAGUGUAAAGGGAACAAGAGCUACCCUCAUCUAGACAUGAAUACUAAAGCUCUGAUAGCAAUGAUCUGGCCUGAGAUUUCUAAGCACAGUGCUUUCAGAAUAAAGGAACCAUCUUUCAUCACAGUCCCAAAUAUAGCAGGCUGCAAGCUUUAAUCCAUUAAUCAGCAUGGUUAAUCAAUUCAAAGGUACUCCGUGCAAUCAGAGUCCACCCCAAUAACUCACACAUCACACAGAAGUUUUUGUUUAAGAUUUUUGGCAUAAUUUUGGCCACAACUUUAUUAAAAUACAAAUUUGUGAGUGGUUGCGUAGGCAUUGGUUGCGACUAUCUGCCCCCACCAUGGGGGACAGACUGGCAUUCCGCACGAUGUGAAAGUCAGAAUAGGGGAAUACACUUGGGGGUUACGCGGAGCAGGGAACCUGCCCUCACCCCAAAUGCAACCAGGAGCUCAUUGCUAUGGCCCGAGCCCCCUUGACAGAGUGGACAAGCAAUAGUUAGCUCCCAAUUCCUUUAACGGAAUCCCUUGCAGCAGCAGCAUUAGAGGGGCAGGCACAGCCAAUCCAUGCCCCUCAACCAACCAAACCAUAAACCAAUGCCCAACCGCGAACCUUACAAGUUGUGACGAUUUGCUACGCAGUAGGCAAAAACCAAAUGGCCCCAGCCAAUCAGCCAGAUGGACAAAAUUCCUACCAGGCCCCCGCUCCAAAGCAGACGACCCCAUGACAGGCAUAGCAAGGUCACAGCGAACAACCCUAUUCUAGGGAGGGAGGGACGGGCAAUCCGAUGCACGGGCGAAAGAGGAAGCCCUAGCCUCGUGCAAGGAGUUUUACUAUUUCUGGCUGUCAAUCAAUAAAUGGCAACAUUAACUUCUUCCCAACAACAAGGGACGCCCCAAUCGCAUCAGUGGCCAACGAUCAAUUAGCCCGCCCCCCAACUUUGGAGUGUCCUGGCGGCCCCCACCGCAACACGUGCUCUCCAUGAAGGAGAACACGCUAUGCCGAAGGUCAUGUCUUUUAUUGUCUUUAAACAGGGAUGGACAAAUCUAUUUCUGCUCUGUCCCAUUUCUCUUCUGUCCCAUUUCCGCAUGAAUCUGUGAUUCUUCUUUUUUAAAAAGACAUACAUAUUUUAACAAGCAUAUUUUAGAAUAUAUAUGUUGCUCUUAAAAUGAUGGUGAUGAUGAUUCUUUAUUAAAUUUCUGUACUGCCCUUCGUCUAAAGAUCAUAUGGCGGUUUACAAUAUAAAAACAUACCAUAGUAGCAAAUGAAAACAAUACUGCCCCACAGUUUAAAAGGCCGUAGAUUGUGUUAAUUAGCCUUAUAGAGUUUGAACUGCUGAGAAUUGCACCAAAAUGUCUGGGGAAGUGCGAUGUCUGGUGGAUAAUACAGGUAUGAACCAACCACUAGAUUUGAUCUUAAUCACAUCUUGGACUACAGCAAUGUGCUCUAUGCAGGGCUACCUUUGAAGGCGACUCAGAAACUACAGUGGUACCUCUGGUUGAGAACUUAAUUUGUUCUGGAGGUCCGUUCUUAACCUGAAACUGUUCUUAAUGUGAGGUACACUUUAGCAAAUGGGACCUCCCGCUGCCGCCGUGCGAUUUAUGUUCUCAUCCCGAGGUAACGUUCUUAACCUGAGGUACUACUGCCGGGUUAGCAGAGUCUGUAACCUGAAGCGUUUGUAACCCGAAGCAUUUGUAAACUGAGGUACCACUGUACAACUAAUCCAGCAGCUGUCAGACUGGUGACUGGGAGCGGUCACCGGGGUCGUAUAACACUGGUCUUAAAAGAUCUACAUUGGCUCUCAGUAUGUUUCUGAGCGCAAUUCAAACUGUUGGUGCUGACCAUUAAAGCCCUAAAUGACUUCCGCCCUGUGUACCUGAAAGAGAGUCUCCAUCACCAUCGUUCAGCCUGGACACUGAGGUCCAGCUCCGAGGGCCUUCUGGCAGUUCCCUCACUGUGAAAAGUGCAGUUACAGGGAACCAGGCAGAGGGCCUUCUCAGUAGUCGCGCCCAUCCUGUUAAAUGCCUUCCCAUCAGAUGCCAAGGAAAUAAACAACUAUAGGACUUUUAGAAGACAUCUGAAGGCAGUCCUGUAUGGGGAAGUUUUUAAUGUUUGAUGUUUUACUGUGGUUUUAUAAUUUCUUGGAUGCUGCCUAGAAUGGCUGGGGCUACCCAGUCAGAUGGGCAGCAUAUGCAAAAUAAAUUAUAGUUAUAUUUGUAUUCGUAUUAGUAUUAUCAGUCUCUGUAGCUGUUGGGAGCACAGGUUUAUCUAUUAUGGAACCACUUGAUAUCUUUCCAAUUGAAUGGUUAUUCAGGACUGCAUUACAUCUGUUAAAAAUGAAGCUCUGCUCUCCCCUCCCCAGUAAUAUGGAGUUUCCUUUAAUGAAUGUACAUCUUUUCUGGGUUUUGCUAAAUAGUAUAGCCAUUUUGCUUGAUGAAAUGUAUUUUCAGGCAGGCAGCAGCUCAAUUAACAAGAAUAAUAAAGUUGGUUGGUCAUCUUUCAGUGAGCACAACCCAUUUAAAAGACCUACAGCUAUUAAGUAGCCUCUGUGAUUGUCCACUCGCCAUUGAUCACUAUGGAAGGAACCUGUGCAUGCUAAUUGCUAACUAGGAAAGCAAAAAAAUAAAUUAAAAAUAAAAAACCCUUCUGUCAACCAAGUAUUCUCUCCUUUAAUUCAGACCUAGACAAAUAGACCAUUUAUUCUUUGACAAUGUAAUUUCAAGAAAAUAUGCGGCCAGCAGACUGUACAUUUUCCAUGUUCACCUGAAGGGAUCUGCAAAAUGCAAGACCAGUAAAGACCACAGAUUUACAUCUCUGCCCACCCUUGAAAUGGUUUGCUAGGGUUGCAAUGCCAUCCUGAUAAAUAAUGCAGGUUGCCUGCAGUCAUCCUGUUUGCUCCUUGACAGCUGAAAAGCCAGUCGGCAACUCUGUCAGUCUUGGCCUUUUUCAGCAGUUGGUGUUUGAGCGCUGGCAGGCAAAGAAGUAUGUGAGCUUUCGGACUUGCCUCUGUUGAGAGAAUAAACAAACAUCAGGCAGCCAAUGCUCUGCCACUCAGAUGGCAGGUAGCCAAUAGGAAAGUAGCUGGCAGUUACUUGUUGAGCAACUGAUAAACAACAUGGUCCUCCACUAGCAUCUCUUUCUUUUCUAGCUGCCUGGCUAUACCUUAGGAAAUGGCUUCAUCAACACUAAAAGCAGGCUUUCCAAACAGUAGAUGAAAUUCAGUAAUGUUGGAGAAGGCUUCCAACCCUGCAAUGGGUCCCUUCCUCCCCACUGAAGCCUCCCACACACCCCAAAAACUUGCUCUCAAGAGUCCGAGUGGGUUUGAGAGGGGUACAAGAGGCCGCAGGGAGAAGGAAAGGAAGGUGAAGUCUUGUUUCACUCACAGAAGUCCAUUCCACUCAUUGGCUAUCACCCAGGGUUUUAUCCAUUCUUCCCAUUCUCAGUCCUUGGUGCUCCACACUCCUUUAUCCCACCCAAUGUUCUGCACCUUGACAAUCCUAAAUCAUUCCAGGUGGUUCAGCCUGAGGCAAUCCAGGGCUGUCUUGCAUCCGACUCACCUAAAGUCCUCCUGAAUUGGUGUGAUUCAGUCCAGGAUUUGGGCUUGGGCUAAACCCUGUGCACAGCCCUAGUAAAAAGAGCCAGUCUCUGAGAUGCUCGGAGGGAUAAGGAUGGUUACAGGUGAAUCCAAAGCUGUGACAAGGAAAUCCUGCUAUUAAAAGAAACCUCUGUACUUCCCCUUAGAAAUAAGUACCAUUUUGACUACAUGGCAGUUAUCCUCCUGAGGGUCAUUUUACACUGAGCAAGUAAGUAUGCUAAAAACAGUAGGUAGAUAUGAAUGGGUAAUUAAAAACCCACAAACUACUAUUUUAUAGUAGGUAAUAUUAAUAAAGCACCUUUCAUUGAAAAAUUGCCUUUAUGUCCAGGAUUUGAAAUCAAACUAAUGGGCUGUUCAAGCACCUUCCACAUAUUAUUCUCUUGUGAACGACCCCCUCAACAGCUGGAGUUCAAAUCAUUUGCUUAAUCAUUCCCAGUGUUAUUCUUCUCCCAUCUCCCAUUCUUUAGAUUGCUCUUUCAAUGCUAAAAUCAGGUGCCUUUUCCUAACCAGGCAGCAGAAUUUCUGGGAAAUAUUUCUUAAAACUGUUCAAAGAAGAAAGGGCACGCAGCCUUAAUAAGCAGGUGGUACCAAAUCCUGGGUGGGUGGGAAGAAAGUGGGUUUUGAGCACAUCAACAAGUUGCAUUGUGUUUUGUUUGUGUUUUGUUGAGCUCUUCUACUUGAGGUAAUAGUUAUCUAUACUGUAGCUAUAUUGUUUGUUUUUAUCCUUUAUAUUUAUUUCUCUGUAUCAAGAAUGCAUUGGCCAACCUCCACAGAAUUUUAGGCCUCUCUCAAUAUCAGCAGCGCUGGAUAGAAUUUGGCUGUUAGUUUUAUCUUUGACACUUAGCAGGGAAUACAUUUUACGGUCUGUCACAUGGCUCAUUUUAUCUUUGACAAUCUUUGUAACAUGGCCAGGUAAAACACCCUGCCCCCAUAUGGAGAGCAAGGUGAAUACCAAUCACAUAGCAAGCCCAGGCGAUCCUGUUCAUAGCACUAUUUGCAGAUGAUGAAAAGACAGUAUCAUUUACAAUGUUCUAUUGACCUGGUACACUGUGAAAGUAACUCUUGAAGGAAGAGCUCAGAGGCCAGAACCUCAUUAUACUGAGGUAUGCAGAGCAGGUUUCCUCUAUAUUGCAACAUGUUGUGUGUGUAUGUGUGUGUGUUUUAACCAUAGCAUAGCUUUUAGAAGCUUAAAAGUGGCUUUAAAAGGGUCAUGAUUCUCAAACAAUGGUAGCCACAACUGUGAGGUAUAGUUGGAAAAGUCUUCCCUGGCUCAGAUUUUAGUGAGCACAGAGAAGAAUUUGGGGGUAUUUCUCUGAGGUGAACAUAUAAGCAUCACCAGCCCCCUUGCUGUCAAACUGUUAGAGCCAUCAAAAUAUAUUGACUUAAACACAAAUACUAGCCACUAUGCACUGUGCCAAUGAAUUUUUUCUUAUUUCCUAGCAAAUAUAAAGGCAAUGGCCUAUGAUGACUCAUGAUGUGGUAGUUCAUGAAAUCAGUUAUGAAAUGUUGCAUGCGUCCCACAUUGAAAUUGACCGAUGGAAAAUAUCAUUUGAGUCCAAGAAACACAUUGCCUCUUAUUAGAUCCCAAACCCUAAGAGAACUUGUUCUGAGUUCCUGUCUUGAUUAAAGAGGGAGCUGUGUUCUCCAACUGGGAUUACCUCCUCAAGAGAGCUUGCCAAGCUUGCUUUGCUCAGCUGGGACAUUCCUGUGAGAAACUAUGACAAGGAGGGACAGCUGCAAUUUUGCAGGAGAAGAUUGACUUCUCCUCUUUCCUGACAGGCCUCUCCUCUUUACUGCCCCUGAAGCAGCACUACAGAGGAUUGGCUCCUCCCAUAUAACAGCUAGUAAACAAGAGGAUUUGUUUGGGUGGUGCUGGUCACUACUCCUUCAUGAAUGGCAUCCCUUGCAUGCAUAGAAGCUCCUCAUGAAGGAGCAGGACCCUGUAGGAUUGGAUCCUUCCAUUUGCCAGCUGGUAAGUGAAAGAAUCUGAUCAUGUGUGGUGCUGGUGCACCCUACCAUACUGCUUUUUAAAACCCCAUUUCUACCAUGUUUUUAAUAGGGUAUUUUAGACCCUUAAAAAAUGCCUAGCCCUGCCCCUGAAUUGCUUUUGCUAUGGAUCCAGGUUGGGGCAGAUUGUCCCAAGGAUGGCAAAGUGUCUGUAGCACAAAUCUAUGGGCCAAACUGUGGUUGAGGAGACAGGGUUUUUAAUUAGAAACUACCUAAUUCACACAUCUCAAAUCAAUAUGUGAACAAAACACAGCUAUUUUUUUUGAAAUUCACACUUCCUUGCUCUCCAGGGAACUGAUGCAGUUUUCCAACCAACCAGAGAUUCAAAAAAUACAUAUGUUAUGGAAAAUGUGCAGUAAAAUGCAUGUUGUUUUGUUGUUGUUUUGUUGUUUAGUCGUGUCCGACUCUUUGUGACCCCAUGGACCAGAGUACACCAGGCACUCCUGUCUUCCACUGCCUCCUGCAGUUUGGUCAAACUCAUGUUAGUAGGAGCCUCAGCUUCAGGACCUGUCCUUCCAGUGAGCACUCAGGGCUGAUUUCCUUCAGAAUGGAGAGGUUUGAUCUUCUUGCAGUCCAUGGGACUCUCAAGAGUCUCCUCCAGCACCAUAAUUCAAAAGCAUCAAUUCUUCGGCGAUCAGCCUUCUUUAUGGUCCAGCUCUCACUUCCAUACAUCACUACUGGGAAAACCAUAGCUUUAACUAUAAGGACCUUUGUCAGCAAGGUGAUGUCUCUGCUUUUUAAGAUGCUGUCUAGGUUUGCCAUCGCUUUUCUCCCAAGAAACAGGCGUCUUUUAAUUUCGUGACUGCUGUCACAAUCUGCAGUGAUCACGGAGCCCAAGAAAGUAAAAUCCCUCACUGCCUCUAUUUCUUCCCCUUCUAUUUGGCAGGAGGUGAUGGAACCAGUGGCCAUGAUCUUAGUUUUUUUGAUGUUGAGCUUCAGACCAUAUUUUGCGCUCUCCUCUUUCACCCUCACUAAUUCCUCCUCACUUUCUGCCAUCAAAGUUGUGUCAUCUGCAUAUCUGAGGUUGUUGAUAUUUCUUCCGACAAUCUUAAUUCCGGUUUGGGAUUCAUCCAGUCCAGCCUUUCGCAUGAUGAAUUCUGCAUAUAUUUUAAAUAAGCAGAGAUACAAUAUACAUCCUUGUCGUACACCUUUCCCAGUUUUGAACCAAUCAGUUGUUCCAUAUUCAGCUCUAACUGUAGCUUCCUGUCCCACGUAGAGAUUUCUCAGGAGACAGAUGAGGUAAUCAGGCACUCCCAUUUCUUUAAGAACUUGCCACAGUUUGCUGUGGUUGACACAGUCAAGGGCUUUUGCAUAGUCAAUGAAGCAGAAGUAGAUGUUUUUCUGGAACUCUCUAGUUUCUCCAUAAUCCAGCGCAUGUUUGCAAUUUGGUCUCUGGUUCCUCUGCCUCUUCUAAAUCCAGCUUGCACUUCUGGGAGUUCUGGUCCACAUACUGCUUGAGCCUGCCUUGUAGAAUUUUAAGCAUAUAUUAGUUAAAUUAAUAUACCUUGGAAGUUGAAUCCGUUCUGGAAGUCCGUUCGAUUUCCAAAACAUUCCAAAACAAUCAGAAGCCGCAGAAACCCUGUCAGAUGCUUGGCUUCCCAAAGAAUGUUUGAAAACAGUCACUUCCAGGUUUCAAUUGUUUGGGAGCCAAAACAUUCAAGAACUAGGCUGUUCAACUUCCAAGGUACGACUGUACAAAAAAAAUGCAUUGUGUUAAGGAAAAUAGCAAAAAAAAAAAGUGCAGUUCAUCAAAACUGCAUACAAUGCUAUGUUUAUUAGGAGAAAAUUGCACUAAAUUGCUGUUGAAAUGGCAUGAUGAUUUUUUAAAAAAAUAAUGAUUACAGAACAGUUUGAAAUUGGGAAAAUGAGAAAUGGAGAGAAACCAAAGUGGACAGAGUCAUCCAUUCCUAUUCCUAAACGAAGAAUUCUGUAAUGAUGACUCAAUAUACCUGCUAGCAAAGUUUCUAUCUUUUACUUCUGAGUUUUAAAAGAGUACUUGAGAUGCCCUGGGAAAUAUUAGAUUCCUUAUUCCCAUGGCAUCUUCUGCACUGCUUCCCUCUCCAGUUUUUAUAUUAACUGGUAUAUUUUAAAUGGAAGCAGCUGACUUUUGCAAUGAGGCUAUUCACAAAGUAAAUUAAAUACUGGAUUCCAGCUCUUACUCCAUCCCCUUUGCUGCUUGAGGACGUCACCUCUGUAACCAGGUACAAGCAUUUUCCCUGACUGGAGACCUUAAACGUUUAUUUGGUGUAUCAAUUUUGUUAGUUAAUUCACUUUCUCCCUCUCGCUCUCUCUUUUAUGCACAAGGACUCUCAGCUCAGGUAGAAAGACGAGGAAAGAAUUAACUUUGGAUUUACCACCCACUCAGGUCACUUUACAAGCUAUUUAGUUUACGUGCUUUCCUCUGGUUCCCUCCAGCGAGUCCCAAAACAGCCGAGGAGAUUAGAAGAAACUGAGAUCCUUAUUUGUUCCACAAUUAUAUUAUAUUAUAUUUUUUUGCUUUGGACUGCAUUUUUUAAUAUCAGUUCUCUCCUGAGUGGUGUCCUUAGCUUAAUCCUUCUCAGUUACUACUACAAAGUUGCUUUUGUUGUUUGUAAUUACUAUCUUAUUGCUCCGCCAUUGUUGAUGAAGAACAAAAUAUUUAUUUUAAGAGGGUCUAAUCGGUUGGCCUAUCAAGAGUUUUGAGCAACACAAACAAAGGCAAGGCUAUGCCACUGAUGAUGUUCACUGUGGGUGAAACAGGAUCCAUUCUUUCUCCCAGACUCUCCCACCUGUCCUGUGAGCCUUCCAACCUUCCAACUACCUUUCCCAGUGUGGUUGGUGCAGAUUCAAUGCAGACAGGAAGCCAGGGAUGAGAGACAUGGGGAGGAUGAAGAGAGCUUGUCAAGCUUUCUCUGUCCCUCAUCAAGCUCACAAUUUAUUAAUUAGUCACCAUGAGGGAUCAAUAAGCACUUGAAGGGAAAGAUAUAUACAUAGAAUAAGUAAAAUUCAGAUUUCUCAUUUUAGAAAAGCAGCAGAUUUCUCUAAAGUACCUAUAAAGUACCUAUAGACAGCAUCUUAAAAAGCAGAGACAUCACCUUGCCAACAAAGGUCCGUAUAGUUAAAGCUAUGGUUUCCCCAGUAGUGAUGUAUGGAAGUGAGAGCUGGACCAUAAAGAAGGCUGAUCACCGAAGAAUUGAUGCUUUUGAACUAUGGUGCUGGAGGAGACUCUUGAGAGUCCCAUGGACUGCAAGAAGAUCAAACUUAUCCAUUCUUAAGGAAAUCAGCCCUGAGUGCUCACUGGAAGGACAGAUCGUGAAGCUGAGGCUCCAAUACUUUGGCCACCUCAUGAGAAGAGAAGACUCCCUGGAAAAGACGCUGAUGUUGGGAAAGAUUGAAGGCACAAGGAGAAGGGGACGACAGACGACAAGAUGGUUGGACAGUGUUCUCGAAGCUACAGACAUGAGUCUGACCAAACUGUGGGAGGCAGUGGAAGACAGGAGUGCCUGGCGUGCUCUGGUCCAUGGGGUCACGAAGAGUCAGACAUGACUAAACGACUAAGCAAUAACAACACAGAUAAAACCUGGACAAACCUAGUGGGCCAUGUCUUUAUCCUGAUCAGAAGAUGCUAAUGGUGACCUGAGGUUCUUGCUCCUGCUUUGUUCCCAUGCUGUAGCCGCUAGAGAUCUUGCCUAUUAUUUUAUUUAAUAUGAUUUUCAAAGGGACUUACAAGUAACAGGUAAUAAUUAUCUGUCACAUGCACAUGCACACACAUACACCAGCAGCCUUUAGAUCUGGCUGGUGGAUGGUACCAAAGCAUAUUCCCCUUCAGUGCCAAAGUCCCAGGGCAACUGGUGUUUUGAGUUCCAACCCGGAGGUGGAAGCCAGCUCUCUGCAGCUGCUCUUUUUUCUGGCCAAUGGAUGAGGCCAGGUUGGUCUCCCCCUUGCUGUGAUGUUCUCCAGAGCAAAGAGAUUUACCAGUCAGUGCUGCCUGAAGGCAGAAAGUCUGAAAGUCACUGCUUUAUGGAGAUGAGGGUGAGGCCUCAGUGACAACCAAGGAAUAUAUUUCAUUUCCUCAAUUGCAUUAUAUUGAAUGGAACAUAGACAUUGAUCCGGUGAUUUCAGAGUCUCUGUGAAUAAACAAAAUAUCUCAACCUGGAGGUCCACUUCACCUGUUUCUUGUUCUUUUGAAAGAAGAACAAGUUGAAGUCUAGGACAGUCCAGUCAAAGGUCUAGGACAGUCCAGUCAAAGGCAACUAUGGGGAUGCUGCGCUCAUCUCUCUUUCAGGCCAAGGGAGCCGGCGUCUGUCCACAGACAGCAUUCCAGGUCAUGUGGCCAGCAUGAAUAACCACUUCUGGUGCAACAGGACACUGUGGCGGAAGCCAGAGCGCACGGAAAUGCCGUUUACCUUCCUGCUGCAGUAGUACCUAUUUAUCUACUUGUACUGGCAUGCUUUCGAAUUGCUAGGUUGGCAGGAGCUGGGACAGAGCAACGGGAGCUCCCUCUGUCCUGGGGAUUUGAACCACUGACCUAGAGAGCACCAGGUUGGUGAAGGCAGACUUAAAAAGACAUGCCAGAACCCUGUUUGUGCAUUAAGGUAUAUUUCCCCUGAACUGGAUUGCAUUUGAUUUUAAGUGAACAAGAAAAGCAAUGCUGAUUCUAAAUGAAACAGACACAAUAAUCUACUGGCAUAGAUUCUUUUGAAAAAAUAUUGGCUCUUGGCAAGCAAGGGGGUUGACUGCCUUACUGCAUUUGGCCUCGGGUUAUCCGUCUUAGGCAGGGAGUUUGAAAUGAAACCAGACAUCAAGCCUGGAUUUAAUAAAUAAGGGAGGCAAGAAGGUCACACUUGAGUUCAGGACAGCAUAAUUACCUCCCACAGGAUAGUAACGAUUCGAGUCACCCUCUCCAUCAAUGAGGAAUCUACAGGAGAUGCUGAUCUUAUUUAUUAUUCACACACUAUCAUCCUGUAGCCAAUCAUCACAGCCUUGUAGCAUCCUUUACUGUAAAGGCUUAGAGAUAUCAAUAGAGUAGUACUUACACAGUGGCUGCAUUCCAGGGGGAAAAAAUCAGAUGCACACAAGAGGGGAAACUGCCAAGGUAACCCCUGCUUUGACGUUUUCAGUGAAGCAUCUCCCAUUGCCUUAGAGGCACAAUACCGGUUUAGCUUUAAAUGUGCAAUGUCAUGUGACACGUAAUGGGAGCGGAGGAGAACCAAGCUUGCACGAUUCUCUUCUGAAUUUUGGCUAAUGACACUGGGAAAUAUUUUCCCCGUCCAUUCCCCCCCCCCCAUGUUUCCAUCCACUUAGAUGUACAUUUUGACAUUAUACAAGAAGAAGAAGAAGAAGAAGAAGAAGAAGAAGAAGAAGAAGAGGAGGAGGAGGAGUUGGGAUUUGAUAUCCUGCUUUAUCACUACCCGAAGGAGUCUCAAAGCGGCUAACAUUCUCCUUUCCCUUCCUCCCCCACAACAAACACUCUGUGAGGUGAGUGGGGCUGAGAGACUUCAGAGAAGUGUGACUAGCCCAAGGUCACGCAGCAGCUGAAUGUGGAGGAGCGGAGAUGCGAACCCGGUUCCCCAGAUUACGAGUCUACCACUCUGAACCACUACACCACACAAGCUCAUUUCACAGGUGUAUUGACGUGACUGCAGAAGGAAAAUGGAUCUUGCACCAUAAACGAAUAAAUAAGCAAGCAAGCAAGUGCCCCAUCUCUAAGUCCUCAUGUUUCAAUGAAAUGGAAACUUUCACACUUUGGGGGUCAUUUUAUAGCAGGGAUGGAGAACCUGUGACCAACAGAUGUUGUUGCACUUCAACGCCUAUCAACCUCAGCUAAUAUGGCCAAUAGACAAGGAUGAUGGGGCUGAGGGUCCAACAACAUCUCAACACUUCUCCAGCCUGACUUUAAAAUUUUACAUUUCAUAUUUUUUUAAUUAUUCUGCUCCACAUUUGCAUGGCUUGCUAUUGCAUAUUGAAGAAAUAUUCAUCUGUAAUCAAAUGUAUAAAUAAAAUAAUAAUCAUAAUAAUAAUUUAUUAUUUAUACCCCGCCCACCUGGCUGGGUUUCCCCAGCCACUCUGUGUGGCUUCCAGUGAAAUAUUAAAAUACAAUGAUUCAUCAAAUAUUAAAAGCUUCCCUAAACAAGGCUGCUUUCAGAUGUCUUCUAAAAGUCAGAUAGUUGUUUAUUUCUUUGACAUCUGGUGGGAGGGCGUUCCACAGGGCGAGUGCCACUACCGAGAAGGCCCUCUGCCUGGUUCCCUGUGACUUUGCUUCUCGCAGUGAGGGAACCGCCAGAAGGCCCUCGGCGCUGGACCUCAUUGUCCGGGCAGAAUGAUGGGGGUGGAGACGCUCCUUCAGGUAUACUGGGUCAAGGCCAAUAUCUGAAGGAGGGAAAAUCUCAGAGCUCAAGCCAGCUGAUAAAAGGAGCGAAUGAGCCUCUACAGCUGUGAUCAUAUAUUAGACUCCAUCAGCACAUGGAACUGCAAAGCAGGGGGAACCACCAACUGGCAAUGGAUUCUGUGUUCAGGAUAUUAACUUCUCCUGAAAAUGUGCUUAUUUAUUUCCUGAUCUUAUACCCUGCCUUUCAUCAUAAAACAAUCCCAAGGCAGGUCACAUCAUAGUAUACAACUGAAUCAAAACACAUUAGAGAAUCAAACCAGAUUAAAAAUUGUAAUAUAAUGUUCAACAAACAAGUCCCAUUUGGGUGGACAGGCCCACUGCUAUUCAGAAAGCCUGGAAGAAUAGGGACAUUGGUGGUGAAUGCAGAAAAACAAACAAACAGUGGACAACAUUGGCAUUGACCUAAUGUUUUCGUAUUCAACAGCUAGGGUGCCAUCAUAAAGAAGGCCUAUUGUUGAGUCCAGGCAAAUAUCAAAAGAACUCCUGGCGGAUUUGAAGCCAUGGUCUGGAUGGCACAGAGAGAGGCUCUCCUUCAGUUAGCUAGGUCCUAAGUUGUUUAGAGCCUUACACCAUAACACCAAAUGCUUUCCCCCCUAAUUAAUUUGUGGCUCUGUUUAUGCAGAGUCAAGGAAUCUACAGUGGGAGCAAGAUGUUUAUAAAACUGGGGAAAAUCCACAUGGGGCUUUUGCAUUUCAUUAAUGAGCCAAAAUCUUGUGCACCAAGAAUUCAAGCACUGAUGAUAAUUUAAAAUACAGUGGUACCUCGGGUUAUGAACUUAAUUUGUUCCAGAGGACCAUUCUUAACCUGAAACCGUUCUUAAUCUGAGGCGUGCUUUCACUAAUGGGGCCUCUUGCUGCCACCGCACUGCCAGCGUGCGAUUUCCGUUCUCAUCCUGGGGCAAAGUUUGUAACCCAAGGUACUACUUCUGAGUUAGCGGAGUUUGUAACCCGAAGUGUUUAUAACCCAAGGUACCGCUGUAAAUGUCUGUUAUCAUAUAAACAAUUGGACACACCCACUUUUACAAGUUAGUCAUCCCCAGUUUGCAGGCCCAGACAUGUUGAUCAGCCCCCAAAACGUUAGCCACUCUUGGUAGAAAUGUUAUUGUGCAAAUGCUAUCAUAUAAAUGUAAAGUGCAACUUUUUUAUUAAAAAAAUUAGAAAUUUAUUACUUUAGACUGUCUUCAGCAAUUAUGUAUGUAGAUUGUGGUUUGAGGACCCAACCCCCGCGAUGUGAAAUAAAUACACAAGGACACGUGAUAUAAGGUUAAUGGGCAAGAAAAGGCCACAACUUUAUUGAUUACAGCAGUGAAAAGGUAUUGGCUUAGGCAUUGGAUGUCUAAAACAAGGGGGUUUAUUCACCAGUAGGUGGAGCCUGUUGAUGCUAAUCCAACGAUAGGCUCUCCCCUGAUGUCACCGGGGGUCGUGCCAUGGCCUCCUGCCAAGCAGGCAUCGGACAGAGUACACGACCGCCAGAUUCCUUUAGCGGAAUACUCAAAAAUUGAAGGCAUAGGCAAUGGCCACACCCAGCCCUUCGACACACCACAACACAUUAUUCCAAUGCCUAACCUACCCACCAAUACCACAAAAAGUUGUGGCGAUUGCUAUGAGGUAGGUGAAAAAACCAAAAAGCCUAAUGCCAAAUGGAAAAAUUCCUACCAGGCCCCCUAGACAACCAGGGCGACCAACCUAAGGUCCAUAGCAAGGCCAAAGAACAAAGACCCUGAGCUAAAAGGGAGUGGAGGGUGAGUGACUCGCAACGAGAGGACGGAGAAGAAUGAGGCCGAGGAGAGGCUGGCACCGCCGCAAAGGCUGCUGAACACGCCCCUCGAAGGCACCUGGUUGGAUGCCUGCCGAGGGGGCGUGGGUGCCAGCCAGGUGAGAGGAGGAGGCAGGGGGCUAAUGCCCCCUGCUAGGGGCGGUGCUCGGGCUCCCGCCCACAACCACUCCCCUCUCUUCCAGGGAGGAGAGUCUUUGCUUAAGGUGUUAUUUCCUUUGCUUCAUAUGUUCUGAAAUCAUCAAAUUAUCUGCAGCUGAAUCUUAAGCUUGCUUUUUCGCUGCUACUCUAGAAUGAGGGCAAUGAAACCCAGGCUUUAUGUGUCCAGAAAGGUUAUUUUCUGCAGUAUAAACUCUCCAGCACUGCCCAAAACACACACAAUAAUUUGGCCUCUGAAACAGAUCUUGACAACUUAUUUUAGCACUCUGCACUGUCUGCCACAUUCACACAAUUUUUCCAGAGUAUUUGCUGAAAAGCUGGGUCAAAAUUAACACUGUCCUAAAACAAAGUACUCUCUCUUUUAAUUAAAUCUGACAGUCACCAACUCAGUUACUAGGCAACCUGUUGGGAUUCAAUUUUGUCUUCCGUUGAAGUGUUAUAAUGUAGCACAUGGGAUAAUACGCAUCAGAAGUGAAAUGCACCUGGAUUUCUUCAAACAGGCAAUUGGAGAAACACCUACGAAUAAGCUAACACUCCUCAAAUAUCAUAUGUUUGCCUAAUGGCAUAAUCAAACCAGUCAUCAGUUCUGCAGGAGGCUUGUUUUUCAGUUUCUUGUGAGGAUGUUACCAAGAGGGAGGGAGGGAGGGAGGGAGGGAGGGAGGAAGGAAGGAAGGAAGGAAGGAAGGAAGGAAGGAAGGAAGGAAGGAAGGAAGGAAGGAAGGCAUCUAUCUGUAGAUGUGUUUAACAAGGUUGCACAUAUACAGUCUCUCAAAUGAAUACGCAGUGUUUUGUGCCUGGACACGUUCCGCAUGUACAGUGGUACCUCAGGUUACAUACGCUUCAGGUUACAUACGCUUCAGGUUACACACUCCGCUAACCCAGAAAUAGUGCUUCAGGUUAAGAACUUUGCUUCAGGAUAAGAACAGAAAUCGGGCUCUGGCGGCACGGCAGCAGCAGGAGGCCCUAUUAGCUAAAGUGCUUCAGGUUAAGAACAGUUUCAGGUUAAGAACGGACCUCCGGAACAAAUUAAGUACUUAACCUGAGGUACCACUGUAUUGCAAAUGUGACAACAGCUUUCUAUAUUUGACCUGUCCAUGUAGUGUAGGAAACUUUUAGAGUGUUUUUUUACAUGGACAGUGCAAUUGCUCCUCACACAGCUGAGCACACAUAGAAGCCCCAGUCAAAGCUUUCUGAGCAAUGGAUGAAAGUCCGAGAGGAGCCCAAAAGCAUGCUGGUGGUCUGUGUUACAUGAAUCACUCUACUCCCUCUAUUUUUUUUUUUUUUGUUUUGUUUCCUGCCUUUUGCCCAUUGCCAGCACUCAAGGCGGUUCACAAAAAGUUUUUUAAAAAAUGUGAUUGAUUGAUUUUUAUAAAAUUUAUAUACCACUUGACUAUAAACUACCUCAAAGUGGAAUUAUUUAAAACAAUUGAAAUGUCCAGAGAGUCAAACCAGCAAUAAAAAUAAAAAUCAGCAUUCUAGAUAUUUGUGUCGGCUUCUCUAAACAAAUAUGUUUUUAGCAGGCACCGGAAUGAGUAUAGCGAAAGAGCCUGCCUUGUGUCAAUAGGCAGGGAGUUCCGCAGUCUAAGUGCCCCUCACUAAGAGAUCAAUAACAAAUGCAGGUAACACACACAAAGCUAAAAACAUUUUAGAAGCUUAUGGUUAUGAAACAAUUAAACUGUCCACCUAUGGAUCAGUUAAUGUGGCUCCCCUCUUUUUUCUUUUUUAGUUAUAAAAAAGUGUAAUAUUAAGGCUGCAAUCCUCCACAUUUUUAGCAAAGGGUAGAUCCAUUGAAAGCAGUGGGGUUUACAAGUCUAUGUUUGUGGGCUAUGCUAGUGGAGAUCAAUGAUUGCUUUUCUGAGUAACAGACGCACAGUUACAGUGACUUAAAAGUCUGGCUAGAACAGCAGGCACUUCAUACCUGAAGCUCUUCUCUUUCACUAAUCUGGUGGUGUUUCCCCAAAUGUUUAUGGUCCUCAUGUCUUCCAAUCUAUCAUUCUUGCAGCUUCCAUGGCAUCUAAUUUAAAAAGGGGACAGAAGUGUGGUAGGUGAACAUUGCACUGUCAUAUUUUUGUGUGGGCUUUUAUUUGGGUCGUUUAAAUAAGUUAUAGCUUUCUCGGUCUGGUAUGCUUUAGGAAAGGCAAUAAAAGACCACUACCACCACCUACUUUUAUUUAAAUCCGCCUGCCUCCCCACCUCAUUAUUGCAACUUAACUUGAUUUGUAAACAUACAAUGGAAAAGAAACAAAUUACUCGGACAAUCUUUCUGUUGCUUUUCACCAUUCGCUCGCGUUAAAUGGCAAAAUGUGAAAGAUGACCACAAAUUGAUAAUGACACCCGCAGAAGCCAACAAUAAGAUAAAACACCCUUUUGCGUGAUCUGGGUGAAAGAGGAGUCUCUGGAAAAUGAAAACACACACUUGUCAUUAGACUGGACUGCUUCACAGAGGAAUGGGGCUGAGAUCUCUUUCUCUGGCAACACUCCUCAUUUCAGUUCAUUUACGGCAAGGAGACGUACAGUCCUUCGCUACAGUGAUUGAUGAUUUGGUUGGGCUAGGCCGGUUCCGGGCCAUUGCCCUAGCGUCACUUUUGAUAAAUUGUCUUCCGUGCCUCUGUUUCUCUGCUGUUGAGAGUGUAGCAAGCAGUUUUUCUAGCUUGAUUUGGCUCUGAAGGGGAAGAAAGCAACUCAGAAUACAUUACACUUACGUUCAGCACUGAUUACCAAAGGGUUCUGUUGUGACAACGAGAAAAGUCCGUGGUUAUGACAGUCACCCCUUCUCCAUCAGCACAGAAGUCUAGUACAAUCAAUGGCAGGAACAUAAUAACUUCGUUCGUUGCUGCAUGUGAACUUUCGCUACUGGGCAUGAGGAAUUACCUCUAAAAAGUAAUUAUAGUUUCAAAGUUUUAAUUAUACUGUAAUAAGAAUUUUUCCUCUUGGAGAAAUGCAAUGCUGGCCACUUGUGUAAAUGGCUUUGGAAAGGAUUAGCUUAAUUAAGGUCAUCCACCAAUGAAAAAGAAUCUCAGUUUAUUAAUCACCAUCUUAUUCUUAACAGAUUAAUCUAUUAAUAAAAUGUAAAAAAAAAAUAAAAAAUAGCAUAUUGCCAAAAUCCCACUAUAAGUAGCUUUUUAUCAUAUUGAAAGAAGCUGGUAUUUUACCAUUCAAUAAACGAAACCUUCCUCUUGUUAGACGAAAUGCCAUCAUCAAGUGUGUUUUUCUCCCUGAUCAUGAACGCAACAAUCUAGAGCCAAAAUGGCCUUUAAAAUAACACUAUACAAGCGAAGUGAAAAGUUGUCCCUUAAAAAUAAUCAACUAGAGUUGUCGUUGGCUAAUCUACUGAUUAAACUGAUCAAAGACUGCCGUGCUAAGAUUAAUGGAGAUAUUUAUUGGUGACUUCAGAUCAUCAAGACCCUCAUACCUGAGAAUUAUUUCUGUGGACUGUCAUCAUAAAGACCCCAUUCUCUUCACACAUGUUCACUUGGCAUAAAGUAUUUAAAACUGCAACCUGAUUGCCAUUCCACUCCCUUCUGCCAAACUAUUGUACUUUUGUUCUACUUAGAAUCAUGCCGAAGUCCUCACUUCAACAAUAUCCUGAUCAGACAGCAGCCAUCCAAUAAAGCUCUUUAUGAUACAUUACUUCCUUUGAUCAUAUUUAAUUGGGGUUAUCAGGAUUAAUCAGCAAAAACCCUGUUCCAAAUGUGGAGCCAAUCGAUAUCAUCAAUGAAUGUCAUAUCACACGUUUGCUUGGCUUGACCUAUUUUCCAUCUAAGCCACAUUGAUUGCCGUUAAUUAUGCACUCUUGCUUUAAAUAUUUAUUGAUUUUGUUUUAAUUAACUGUUCCAUUACUUAGUAAGGAAUUGAUUCUAGGCUGACUGGCCCACAAUUGCACCAGUCAUCCAUGGAGACUUUAAGAACGUAUUCUUCUAGGGAAGUAGGUCUUAAACUCUGUUCCAGGUAACCAUGGGCUUCCUCAGAGACACUGCAAUGAGGUCGUCAGUAGAAGCAGACAAGCUUCUGUUGAUAAACCUUCUCGUAUGUUCCCUGCAAUGUAUGUUCCCUGCAAUGUGAGCCAUGGAAGAAUAUUGGAUGUGCUCUACAUCACCCUCUUAGUUCAUCCAGGGCAUCAAUGAGGUUCAACAGUGACCCACAUGAACUGAUUGUCAGCCUUAGGACAGCCUUAGGAUCACCUUUUCCCAAUGUGCUGAGUUACCAUGUGACAUAGGUCAAUAGGAACUUGUUUCCCUGAAAACAGAAAGUAUGAAAACCAUAGUUCCAGGUCUUCUUCAAGGCACAAUCUAAUUUAUCUAUGAGAGCAGGUUAGGAGGUAGCUUCUCCCUAUGCCAUCUCCCAAAGAUGUGUAUGAGGGAACCAUCUGUGUGGGGCCAUUAACUGUUAAUUGUUUAAUUGCACACUGAAAUUGAUAAUGUAUGUAUGUAUGUUGCUGAAGAGUUUAACAUUGGAAAAUGCCAGUGUGGUAUACUAAAUCUAGAAGAGAGCUCUUUAAGCUUCUAAAUGGAUUAAUGGUUAACAGUUGAUGUUCUCAGCUCUUUCAAGUGAGUCUUUAACCUUAGGUCACAUGGUUAAGGUAUUCAAUUGCAAAUCGCCAUUUUGAAGGAAGUUGCUUUGGUCUUUUGUUCCCAGGCGCAGUGAGAGAAAGAUGUGCAAAUGAUGCAUCUCCAGGAGAAACAGCCUCAGGCUGGUGGAGGCUGUCAGGAGAGAGAGAUCUUUGAAUCUAAAUCUGCUUGGAGUUAUAUAAUAUUUCUAAGAACAUGAACCUCCGCUUUGACAAGUAUAUGUCUGAUGGAACUAUUUGGAUGUAUCAUUGAUUGUUUUUGCACCUGUUUUGAAGAAGUUCUGCUUAGUAAAGCUUUCAAUAAUAUUUAUGGGUCCUUUUAUUCCACAAGGAGUCCAUUUUUAUGCAUCCAAUUGCUUCAAGCUGCACAAUAUCAAUAUCUGCACUAGUAACUGGGUUCCUACCUAUGCAAAUAUUAUCCAGCCAGUAGGGAAGGUUAACACGUGCGGUAAUGAGCUCACACAUUCUCCUCUUCUUUUUAGACACUCUUCAUCCUUGCAUUUGCUAGACCAUGUAUUGGGGUAGGGUGGGCUUGGCAUUUAUUGGUUUGUUUUGUUCUUGUUUUUAUUAGGUAGUAUGUGUUUUUAUUUUGUGCUUUAAUGCUGUGAACUGCCCUGUGAUCUACGGAUGAAGGGUGGUAUAAAAAUUUAAUAGCUAAAUAAAUAAAAAUGCUACCUAUCCACACACAUGGCUAUGUGUGUAGGUGUAUGUGUGAAAUCCUUCCAUUCCCACACGCUGCAUCAUAGAGCAUGUAACAGUUACAUGGUCACCUGGUCAGUGUUGGAAGUGCUUUGGAAGCCUUAGGAUGCAGUGCAUUAUGAGCCAGUCAUUGAUUCUGUAGUAGAGGAAAUUUGUGCCCCUUCAGUUGUUGUUAAACUCUGGGGCUGAUGGGAGCUGGGAGUCCAACAAUGACUGGAGAGCCACAGAUUCCUCAUGCCUGCUUCAGAGGAACUGACUGUCUCCUACCCUUGCUGCAGCAGAUGAUGUUUCUGCCAGGGGGUGGAGUCCAGGUUCCCUCUUUAACCCCCAAGUCUAGCACUGUACGGAAUUUUUACGAUAUUGAGUCUAGCACCAAAGUGCAUCAGCCAAAUGUGAAGGUAAGAAUGGGGAGAGAGGCAGAGGCAGCUGAAGUUGUCCAGUUGGUAGGAAAUGUCUCAGAAUUUAGAUACAGCCAUUUCAGACCAUAGGACAAAGCUGCCAUUGUAAAGGUAAAGGGUAAAGGGACCCCUGACCAUUAGGUCCAGUCAUGACCGACUCUGGGGUUGCGGCGCUCAUCUUGCUUUAUUGGCCAAGGGAGCCGGCAUACAGCUUCCGGGUCAUGUGCCCAGCAUGACUAAGCUGCUUCUGGCGAACCGAACCAGAGCAGCACACGGAAAUGCCGUUUACCUUCCCGCUGGAGCGGUACCUAUUUAUCUACUUGCACUUUGACAUGCUUUCGAACUGCUAGGUUGGCAGGAGCAGGGACCGAGCAACGGGAGCUCACCCCAUCGCGGGGAUUCAAACCACCGACCUUCUGAUUGGCAAGUCCUAGGCUCUGUGGUUUAACCCACAGCGCCACCCGCGUCAGAAUUUAGAUACAGGCAUUUCAGACCAUAGGACAAAGCUGCCAUUGUAGCUAAAGCCAAUUCAUAAGAUCACAUUGUUAGUCCGCUACUUUAAACACUGAGAUCUCUACCCUUUGCUAUCUCAAAUCUUUUAUUUUAAUAGCACAAGGGAUUGUGUACCCUUCUGCAUGUAACAGAAGGCAAUAUCCAUGUGGCAGCAGGAUAUUACAGAGAAAAGGGUGGUUAAGUCAAAAGCAAAUAUCAACAGUAUUUUUCAUGCAGUACAUUCACUUGUUCUUCCAGUGUAGAGUUACAAAAAAAUGUCCUCUGAUUUCCCUUUAAGUGCUCUGUGGAAAAUGGAAGAAUAUUCCGUAUUCACAUUUACCGUUCUGUACAUUUCUGUUAUAUAAUAUGUAUACAAUUAGGAAAUGACCCCAUUUUAACUUGUCAGUAAAGGUGUUGCACAUCUCCCCCUCCCAAUUCAGCACUCAUGAGUAAUACAUGGAAUGCUGAUGUGUCACUUGAUUAUGCAUAAAACAGGAAUAAUUUAGAGCUUUUUCAAAUAUCCAAGACAGGAAAGAUAUUGGGAUCCAAGGUGCACAAUACAAAAUGUUCUAAAUAUUUGCUGGAGGGCGGAGCUGAAGAAGAACUAACCCUAUCAUUUUUUCACUGCUAUUUAUAUCGCUUGCAUCUCCUCUCUGCUGCUGUUUCAGUAUCAUCCCUCUUGCCCCAAGUUUUCUCCUUCCCCCUUAGGAAAGGGCUGUGGCUCAACGGCAACAUACUUUGCAUGCAGAAGAUUAUCGGUUUAAUUCCCAGCAUCUUCAGUAGGGCUGGGGAACAUGCAGUCUGGAGAGAUGCCAUAUAGGUUACAUAUGGAGACAGGUUUCGCUUAAAACCGGAUGGCACAUCCUAAAUCACAGAGUCUAGAGCACCUAAAUCUGCAAUUUGUUAAAUCAACAGAAGUAUAGUGGUACCUCAGGUUAAGUAAUUAAUUCAUUCCAGAGGUCCAUUCUUAACCUGAAACUGUUCUUAACCUGAAGCACCACUUUAGCUAAUGGGGCCUCCUGCUCGCGCUGCACUGCCAGAGCACGAUUUCUGUUCUUAUCCUGAAGCAACGUUCUUAACCUGAAGCACUAUUUCUGGGUUAGUGGAGUGUGUAGCCUGAAGCGUAUGUAACCUGAAGCAUAUGUAACCCGAGGUACCACUGUGUAGUGUCCAGAUCAGGCAUCCCCAAACUUGGCCCUCCAGCUGUUUUGGGACUACAACCACUGGUCCUGUUAGCUAGGGAUGGAGGGAGUUGUAGUCCCAAAACAGCUGGAAGGCCGAGUUUGGGGAUGCCUGGUCCAGAUCAAGGGAAGUAAUUGUACCACUCUAUUCUGCCUUGGUCAGACGAUACCUGGAAUACUGUGUCCAGUUCUGGGCGCCACAAUUUAAGAAGGCUGUUGACAAGCUGGAAUGUGUGCAGAGAAGGGUAACCAAGAUGAUCAAGGGUCUGGAAACCAAGCCUUAUGAGGAAUGGUUGAAGGAGUUGCAUAUGUUUAGCCUGGAAAAAAGGAGACUGAGAGGAGAUAUGAUAGCCACCUUCAAAUAUCUUGAGGGCUGUCACAUGGAAGAUGGAGUAAGGAUGUUUUCUCCUGCUCUGGAAGGUAGGACGCAAACCAAUGGCUUCAAGCUCCAAGAAAGGAGAUUCUGACUGAACAUCAGGAAAAGCUGAGGUUCGAGAGUGGAACGGUCUCCCCUGGGAGGUGGUGGACUCUCCUUCCUUGGAGACUUUUAAGCAGAGGUUGGGUGGCCACCUGUCAAGGAUGCUUUAGCUGAGUUUCCUGCAUUGCAGGGGGUUAGACUAGAUGACCCUUGGGUCCCUUCCAACUCUACAAUUCUAUGAUUCGAAAUUUAAACUGGACCCAAGCAGAAUUAAAAGCAUUUGGGGGAGGUUUCACUGGAGGAGAAUUCAUGAAGGUUUCCAGACCUUAUAUGUUAAGAAAUGUCCUGGCAUGCAUUCUCUCAGUCUGCAUCCUCAUGUGACUUCACUUCCACAAGGCUGUCCCAAAAUGACCACUGAGUCCUGAAAUCAUAAACUAGCUGGCAAUUGAGAUGCAUUAACUUAGGCUGCAAUCCUGUAUGCACUUCCUCGGGAACAAACCUCACUGAACAUCGUAGGGCUGAACAAACAUGAAUAUAAUUCCUCUGUUGGUCUACAGAUGCAGAUAAACUGUAAAUGGAGUAGGUUCUGAAAGAUUUAAGUUUUAUUUAAAAUGAUUUAUAUCUCUUCUGCAUGCAGCACUUAAAGGGAAAACUUCACAGAUGCUGGGCACAAUGGCCUCAAUUUUCAUAACAAUGCCAAUGUCCUGUGAGCUCUCAAAGCACCAUGCCUUCCAUUUUACAAUGUAAUCUCCUUCAUUUGAAAUAGAAACCUAUUUUUCACAGCUUUAGUGGAAACCCAGGUACUGAUAUAUGAAAAUAAGACAGAGAAAUUCAUAACUUUCCCUAACCCCCCCUUGUUGCUCACUUCCAUAGGCAUUUCAGUUUUAUAGAAAGGGAGAGAAAUGAAUUGUCCCAACAUGACAUGCUAGACAAACUCCUUAUUUUUCCUAACAUACAUUAAUGCACCCAGAGUGAUUCGAACUUUGCUUAGUAUUGGCUGGUGGGGUAUAAGGAAUAUAAGGAAUAAAUUAUUAUUAUUAUUAUUAGUAGUAGUAGUAGUAGUAGCAGCAGCAGCAGAAGUAUUAUUACUACUACUACUACUACUAUGUACUUGCAGAAAAGAGGCCGCCGAGACCACAUAACAUCGGACUUGAAAGACCUACACUGGCUCCCAGUACAUUUCCGAGCACAAUUCAAAGUGUUGGUGCUGACCUAUAAAGCCCUAAAUGGCCUCGGUCCUGUAUACCUGAAGGAGCGUCUCCACCCCCAUUGUUCUGCCCGGACACUGAGGUCCAGCUCCAAGGGCCUUCUGGCAGUUCCCUCACUGCAAGAAGCCAAGUUACAGGGAACCAGGCAGGGGGCCUUCUCGGUAGUUGCACCCUCCCUAUGAAACACCCUCCCACCAGAUGUCAAAGAGAAAAAUAACUACCAGACUUUUAGAAGACAUCUGAAGGCAGCCCUGUUUAGGGAAGCUUUUAAUGUUUAAUAGAUUGUUGUAUUUUAAUAUUCUGUUGGAAGCUGCCCAAAGUGGCUGGGGAAACCCAGCCAGAUGGGCAGGGUAUAAAUUAUUAUUAUUAUUAUUAUUAUUAUUAUUAUUAUUAUUAUUUGAUUAGCCCCUACAAGUCAGGGCUACAUACCAUGCGAUCCACCAAAUCUCUUGUUUUUCAGUGUGACAAGGAAGGCACAGUACAUAACUGGUAGACUGUAUUUGCAACUGUGCGUGACGCAAAGUGACGACAUUGCCCCCAAAGAAGGAAUUGUCACACACAAAUGGAGGGGAAGACUACAGAAGAGGGCACAGAUUUGCAUAUGCUAUGUUUAGUGAUACAAAUUUAGGAAUAAAUUGUAGAAUUAGAUAGGAAUACAGGAUUUCGCACCUUGGAGGCAGGAGCAGCCAACAUGGCAGAGUAGUUCUUGAAUAUGCCCUCCUAACUCCACUAACCACUUACUAGCAGAGUGUUGGGGCAUGGCAGUGGUGAGGUUGAUGUUAAUCUGUCUCUCCUGCCACUGCAGCCACACAACUCUGACCUUGCCACCAUUCUGCCUCAGCCUUAACCAUCUCACAGGGUGUACGUGAGGAUAACCUGGAUAGCUAGUUCCAUGCAAACUGUCCACAACAUCUUGGAGGUAAGCCUGAAUAUUCAGUUCCAAAUAUUCACUAGUGACAGUAAACAUAUCUUGGUAUUCAGCAUACGAAUAACACCAUGGCAAAUUUCAUUUAAUGCAGGAAAUUGCUUAUGUGGUACCCAGCACUGUAAUUUUCUGUUUGUGUGUUGGAAGCAUUGCCUUUGAAAAUCAAGCACGCCUCCUGAAAGAUUCAAAAGUCAGUAAAGUGACUGAUUUGCAUCUGUUCAGCAUCUACAACAGAUUACCUAAGUUGUUGCUGAUAUUAAUGAAUUUGUGCUUGUCAUUUUGCUGGAGAUGACCCUAGGAGACUUCAGUGUUAAAUCCACAUUUUUCUUAGUUUUCACCCCCAAGAUUAUCAGUUUUAGAGUAAUUUGAAAGGAAUGCCAGGGAAUUUGCAAGCAUGUGAGAAAAGGAUUUGCUUUGUCAUUGAGAAAGACGACAGAGAAUAUGCCAACAUUUGUAAAACAUGUUCAUCAGUCUUGGUGACCUUUCUGAGUGAUUUAGUGUACCUGAACAUUAAUUAUGAUUCACAGAAAGCGAAACAAGAAAUAAACAAAAAUUCCUCCCGUUUUUUGUUUUUUUAAUGUGGUUGUAUGAUACUUGGAUACAUCCUGUUCAAUAAUGAAAAAUCUCUUCCAUCAUUGAUAAAUGAAGGAUUUAUUCAUGAAACUCCCAGUAGCAUUAAUGAGACAUUGCCUGGCAUUGAUUGGAGAAUAAAUUUAUGUACUAUGGACAGGCACAUGUAGGAAUUAAUUUCUCUUUUUUUUUUAGCCAGAGACUGAACUGUGCAAGCCUGUAGCCAACACUAUUGCUGUUGCCUCUGAGAGGAACAUGUCUGCCACCUCAAUUCUUCCUGCUGCCCAUGGGGAAAGCUGGCAGAAAUUGAGCAGGCAAAAUGGUAUAGCAUUGGCAUGCAACUGGGCAGAGCUCUGCACCUACUCCUGACCUUGCCAGCACUGUAGGUGGUGGUCACAUGCCCUACUUUGAAGAGGGCAAUCUUCUGUGUCAAAGGGCUGUCAGAGGACAAUCCUCUAUUUGAUGGUGUCCUCUAUUUGAGAGUUUUCCAGUCCAAGUCUGGUUUAAAUAUAAGGGGAGAGCAGGGGCCUUGAAGUUCGCCAGCAAUGGUUUUACAAGUUGCUUACCUCAUUACGGUGAGGUGUGUUGCAUUUCCAUUUAAAACAUCUUCUUAUUUGGCAAUCACUUGUAGCCGAAUAAGAUUGUCUUCCAUAAACACAGUUUUAACAAUAAGUCCGUAAGUAACUGUGGAGGCCAAUUCUGGAUCCACACGUACUUCCACAGUGGGGACAUAGGUUUCUGGGUGGGAGUUGAUCACGGUGAGGGUUUGCCAAGUGUGCCUUCCUCUUAGCACAUUUCAACUUUUUGUCAUGAGUGUCUUCAAAGCCCAUGAGACUUUUGGUAAAUUGUUCUCCAAUUGGAGCACUCACAGGCCAAUGUUUCCCAGUUGUCAGUGUUUAUACUACUUUUUCUUUCAGAUUUUCCUUGAGAGAGUCUUUAAACCUCUUUUGUUGACCACCAGCAUUAUGCUUUCCAUUUUUAAGUUUGGAUUUCUAAGUUUGUGUCUAUAUAUCGAAAUUGCCAUAUGUAACUUUGAUGCAAACUGUUAUCUACUUUCCUCUCUGUUUUUGGCAAUGCGUAUCUAGACCAACGGGACGUGGGUGGUGCUGUGGGUUAAACCACAGAGCCUAGGACUUGCCGAUCAGAAGGUUGGCAGUCUGAAUCCCCGUGACGGGGUGAGCUCCCAUUGCUCGGUCCCUGCUCCUGCCCACCUAGCAGUUCGAAAGCACGUCAAAGUGCAAGUAGAUAAAUAGGUACUGCUCCGGCGGGAAGGUAAACGGUGUUUCUGUGCGCUGCUCUAGUUUGCCAGAAGCGGUUUAGUCCUGCUGGCCACAUGACCCGGAAGCUGGCUCCCUCGGCCAAUAAAGCGAGAUGAGCGCCGCAACCCCAGAGUCGGUCACGACUGGACCUAAUGGUCAGGGGUCCCUUUACCUUUACUAGACAAACAGCACUGUUGUACCAUUAAUCUUACAUUUAUAUACCACCUUGCCUCCCAGAUAUGUGGUUGUCCUCUUCCUGCUUUUAUCCUGACACAAACCCUGUGAGGUAGGUUAGGCCAGUCACCCAGUGAGCUUUAUGGCUGACAAGGGAUUUGAAGCCUGGUUUCCCAGGUCCAAGUAUGAAACACUAACACUCCCAGCAUGCUUAUACCAGGGUGGACCCAGCAUUGUAAGCCACACUACAAGACUGGUGAGACUAGCUGUCCUGUGUACCUGAACUUUCUGGCAGUGUCAUUUCGUUAUAGCACUCCAAUUGUUGGGGGGUAAGCAUGGCAUAUUUAAAAUGUUCUUGGUAACUUCAGACACAGGCUUGGAGCUUUGCUCAGCACUACAGUUGUGGGUAGCCUCUGGGAUGCGGGUGGCGCUGUGCUCUAAACCACAGAGCCUCUUGGGCUUGCCGAUCAGAAGGUUGGCAGUUCGAAUCCCCAUGACGGAAUGAGCUCCCAUUGCUCUGUCCCAGCUCCUGCCAACCUAGCAGUUCAAAAGCAUGCUGGCGCAAGUAGAUAAAUAGAUACUACUGCAGUGGAAAGGUAAACAGCAUUUCCGUGUGCUUUGGUUUCCGUCAUGGUGUUCCAUUGUGCAACAAGCAGUUUAGUCAUGCUGGCCGCAUGACCCAGAAAGCCGUCUGUGGACAAACGCCGACUCCCUUGGCCUGAAAGAGAGAUGAGUGCCACAAACCCAUAGUCAUAUUUGACUGGACUUAACCAUCCAGGGGUCCUUUACCUUUUACCUGUGGGCAGCCAGCUUGCCUACAAUCUACUAAACUGUGGCCUAAUGGGUGGCUGACACUGAGGACACCUGCACAAGGAUCACCAACAGCAGUAUGCCAAGGAUCCCCAAAAACAUCAGCUUUCCUCAUGGUUGCAAAGUGGCUAAGAGUGGUGUGUGUAUUCAGUCAGCUGAACCAGGAUAGAGGGCUCACACCAACAUAGUCUGUCUGCACUGGGAACUGACCAGCUGAGGCAGAGAUCUGCGAGAUCCUACCGUACUCAUCCUGCAAGAACUUGGGUUUAGAUAGCUCCCUGUGAUAUCUGUAGAAGACACACUUUUCAAAAGUGUUUUAAAUACAACUGAUUUGUCUUAAGAGUAGCCCAGUUACAAUAUUUAAACAAUGGGUAUUUGAUAGCUUCUGCAGUAGCCCCUCAUAAACUUUCUCUGCCCUUGGAGAUUAGCAUCUAUUUUGUAAAUAUUCUCUCUCUCUCUCUCCCAGGGUGUGACACCAUUUCCCACAAAAAAGAAAAGUAGCUAUAUCACUCAGUUCAAAUGGCUGUUAAAUGCCAUACAUUUAUCUCUAGUAGUGGAAGGUGAGAGAUAAUGUAAGAAAAGUGUCAGGAUGCUGAACUCGAUUCCACUAAUAUCCCAAGACAUGGAACAUCCUUUGACCUCAUUCUGUGAUCUCACCACAAGCAGGUGCCUGGUAGUCUGGGCCAAUCAUUGCUUGUAUCUGUGAAAUUCAACCCCACCCCUAAGAAAAAACCUAUUUCACAGGUUCAAAGAAUUGUGAAGGUGACUGAAAAGGCUUAGGGGAAUAUUUAAUGACAACAUUUAUCUCUGAGACAAAUCCUUCCUUUAACCUUGACCACACCGAUUCAGACAGCAGCAGUUUGGCACAGUCCUGGUCAGCAAGGAGCAAUAGGCUGCACUGCAGAGCCGUUGCAGCGACAGAAAUCUAUACACAAGAUAUACCUUUAGAAAAGGUGAGAUGGUCUAUUGUAAGAGAUGGAUGGAAGAGUAUGCGUCAUAUGAGUCAUCCAUUAAAACAAGUGCCACCUGUCAUUUUUCCGCCACCUCAUCCCCAUGAAUCACCACCAAGGAACAACACUUUCAUCAUUGACAGGGCUGUGCUGGAAUUCCUUAUGCAAGCUAUUUUCAGCAGGAUUGGAGGGGAAUCUGGGAUGAUGAAGCAACCAUCACUCCCAGCUCUCCUUCUCCAAGAUCACACAGCAGAAUCAUAAAGUCAAUCAGAGUAAGAGCAGCACUGCAGCUGCUGGGAUAGGGAUGGAUGCUCCAUGCCACUUCUUAUCUUAUUUUGUUGUUGUUGCUGCUGUUGUUUUUACCCAAGAAUCACAUUACAGUAUUAGAAGAAGUGCAAAAUCCCAUAUAUAUGUUCCAUGGGAGAGGCAUUUAGACUCAGUGCUAACUUCUGAGUGCCCCUUUCACAGCUAUUACAAUGUGGCUGAAUCAGCCCUGAGCGAAAUUCAAAAUAUAAAUUAUAAUGCAAAUCAAAUACUUGGGAGAAUUCUGAAAGCUGAUAAAUCAAAUAAGGCAUCAGUUGUCCUUGGGCUUAACUUCCUUCACUCUAGAGGCCUUCAAACUUCUAGGAUCCAUCAGUUUGGUCCAGCAAUGACUGAUGGCUGAGGUUCAUAACAGCUACCUGUCAUUUGCGCUUCCUUGAAAAUUGCAACACAACAUUGCGCUCUGCUUAGCAGAAUCCCUUUAGCCCUUUGCCCCAGGUGAUAUCAGCUCCUGAGAUGGAUCUCAGCUUCCCUUCAUAUGCCAACCUCCUUCAGUGCUCUUGGCUUUCUUCAGCUCCUAAACAUCUCUGGAGCUUCUUCCUAAGUCUCUCAAUGUUCCACUUCAACUCUCUUCUGUUACCCCCCUUUGACCAGCACUGGACCCAGCCAUUAAUUUACGCCUAAUCACCAUUAUUUGAAUGAAAUUCCACACUCUUAUUGGUCUAUAAUUACGAGCUAUUAAGUCAGCUCAUUGGUCCAUGAGCUGACCAAUUAAAAAGCAACAACCCUUUUGAUUCUGAAUAGAAAGUGAUAAACCUCCCCAAGUUUAGCCAAUCCCAUGUUGGUAGUAGGCUACAAUCACAGAGUUUAACUGAUACUUUGCUGCUUCUUAGUCUGCGGUGUAUCCCUCUAACUCCCUGCAGGAGCACAAGUCAGUUUAGUUCACAGUUAAUACAUCACUUGCUUGAAAUGAUAUCAAAUCCUUAUAAUAAACUUUACCAUAUAAAAAUAUGAUUUCGCUACAAUCUUAUUCAAUCUCUUUUGGAUUUUCUAGCCCUUAGGUGCUUCACUUGAAGAGGAUCUCCCAAACUUGGGGACAACAUGAUUAAAGAGCUUUUAUGUUAUUGUUUCUACGCUGGUGCAGGAAAACACAACUGAGCCUGGCAGAUCUGUCAUUUGUGAUUGAUCUCCAUUUCUCAUAAUUCCAUUCUUCAAUUUUCUUAUCUGUUUGUGUGUGUUUUUUAAGAAUGUUCACAUGAAAAUUCAUUAGAACAAAUUUCCCCUAAUAUACAAAUGCGAAUGCAAUUUACACUGAUAUACAUGUUUUGCAAAACAUAUUUCUCCCAAUAGGAUGCUAGAAUUAUCGAGUUGGAAAGGACCUUGAGAGUCAUAAAGUCCAACCCCCUGCAAUGAAAGAAUCUCAGCUAAAGCAUCCAUGACAGAGGGCCACCCAACCUAUGCUCAAAAACCUUCCAUGAAGGAAAGUCCACCACCUCUCGUGAGAGUCUGUUUCACCGUCGCAUGGCUCUUACUGCCAGAAAGUUAUUCCUGAUGUCUAGUCAAAUUCUCCUUUCUUGUGACUCAAAGCCAUAUUUAUACUGUAUGCUCUUUUCACUAAGAUAUACAUUUGUCUGCACACUCAGCACAUGCCUCUUUGUACUCUUUACUUGGGUUAGAGACCUUCAUCUCAACAUUCAGAAAAGUAAGAACUUGGCAGCGUGGUUGAGUUCCAGUUAACAUAUUGUUUGAGAAAGUGUGUGUUAUAAUAAUUAAUAAUAAUAAUAAUAAUAAUAAUAAUAAUAAUAAUUUAUACCCCGCCCAUCUGGCUGAGUUUCCCCAGCCACUCUGGGUGGCUUCCAAUCAAGUGUUAAAAACAAUACAGCAUUAAAUAUUAAAAACUUCCCUAAACAGGGCUGCCUUCAGAUGUCUUUUAAAGAGAAGAUAGCUGUUUAUUUCCUUCACAUCUGAAGGGAGGGCAUUCCACAGGGUGGGCGCCACUACCGAGAAGGCCCUCUGUCUGGUUAUGUAAAUUCCCAUUUAAAACUGUGAACUGAAUCAGAGUUAUCGCCCAUCCCUCAGUUGCAUUACUAUGGGAGAGGGGUGUCCUUGGGACUGGGCAGUCAACAGGGGCUAGGGAGGGACGGGGGAGGAUGUCUGGACCUCCUGGGUUGCAAGUUGCAUUACCUAUUCCUGCUGCAGAGUGAGGACUUGUUGACUAAGCUGCAGAAAAUUCUGGGAAACAAACUAGAUCACCAGCAUGAUGGCUAAAGAUGUCAUGAAAGACAUACUAGUGGGAAUGGUUAUGUGAGGUUGUUCUCUCUCUCUCCUCUUACACUGGCCUUUCAAAUUUGUUUCUGCCAGGGAAAGCAUUUGGAGGCUGCUGUGUUCACACUUGCUCUUGUUUUAGCUGCUGAGAUCCCUCCUAUCAAUUAUUGCACACACACACAAAAAGCCUCUUAUUUGAAAAGUGUUAAUUGAACAUGGUGGGAAACAGCAGCCCAGGGGGACAUACAAGAUCAGACAUGUGGGAGGCAGGUGAGGAGAGUACAAAGAAGGGAAAUGCAAGCGCAUUAGGAAAUGUAUGAAAUAUGGAGAAGUCGGGAGGGGGAAAUGAAGUGGUGUUGAUAGCAGAGAAGAUGCAUUUCAGGGAUCGAAUAAUAAGGAUAAACUGGGUCCAAAACAGCCCAUCCAAAUUAAUAUGCUAAGCUGCAGCUUCCUCAGCCUACAAUCAUAAAUAGGAACAAUAUGCCUAAGCAACACUUCUUUCGAGGCUAGAUAAAAUCAUAUACAAAAUGUAAAUGUGCCAAUUACUAUGCUAUUUUUAAUCUAUUUGACAUGGUUUUCUUUAACACCCCCCUUCAAUCUGGUACAAUAGAAUCAUAGAAUCAUAGAAUUUUAGAGUUGGAAGGGAACCCAAGGGUCAUCUAGUCCAAACCCUGUAAUGCAGGAAACUCAACUAAAGUAUCCAUGAAAGAUGGCCAUCCAUCCUCUGCUUAUAGACCUCCAAGGAAGGAGAGUCCACCACCUCUCAUUGGAGAAUGUUCCACUGUUGAACAGCUCUUACGGUCAGAAAGUUCUUCCUGAUCUUUUUUCUUGUAACUUGAAGCCAUUGGUUCGAGUCCUAACCUCCAGAGCAGGAGAAAACAAAGUUGCUCCAUCUUCCAUGUGACAGCCCUUGAGAUAUUUCAAGAUGGCCUCUCAGUCUCCUCUUUUCCAGGCUAAACAUACACAGCUCCUUCAAUUGUUCUUUCAUAGGGCUUGAUUUCCAGACCUUCGAUCAUCUUGAUUGCCCUCCACUGCACAUGUUCCAGCUUGGCAACAUCCUUCCUAAAUUGUGGCAUCCAUAAUUGGACACAGUACUCCAGGCAUGGUCUGACCAAGGCAGAAUAGAAUGGUACAAUACACCCCUUGAUCUGGACACUGUCCUUCUGUUGAUAUAGCACAGACUAGCAUUAGCUUAUUUUGCUGCUGCAGUAUCACACUGUUGACUCAUGUUAAGCUUGUGGUCCAGCAAGACCCUAGAUCCUUUUCGCAUGUACUGCAAGUAAGUCAGGUGUCCCCCAUCUUAUAUUUGUAUAUCUGGUUUUUCCUGCCUAAGUGCAGAAACAUAGACAAAGUCUUCAUCUACCAAUUGUUAGUAUCUUUUUGAAGAUUUACAAUAAAAAACAGCAACAAUCCAAGUCAAUAGAGGAAAAACUAAAAGUAUUAUCCAGCCACACUUAAUAAAUUUAAAGUCUGCUAGGUGGAGCUGUGGGUUAAACCACAGAGCCUAGGACUUGCCGAUCAGAAGGUUGGCAGUAUGAAUGCCCGCGACGGGGUGAGCUCCCGUUGCUCGGUCCCUGCACCUGCCCACCUAGCAGUUCGAAAGCAUGUCAAAGUGCAAGUAGAUAAAUAGGUACCACUCCGGCGGGAAAGUAAAUGGUGUUUCCAUGCGCUGCUCUGGUUCGCCAGAAGCGGCUUAGUCAUGCUGGCCACAUGACCCGGAAGCUGUACACCAGCUCCCUCGGCCAAUAAAGUGAGAUGAGCGCCGCAACCCCAGAGUUGGGCACGACUGGACCUCAUGGUCAGGGGUCCCUUUACCUUUACCUAGGUUUCAAAAGGAGGCGAAUGGACUGUGCAGUUCUAGAUCCCUGCUACAGUGGCAAGUGGUGUGUACUAUACCUAAAUGUGCUGGCUUUACACUUAUGCCCUUUCAGCACCAAGUAGAGAGCACAGGAACACACAAACAAGAUACACUGUCCCUACAGAAGCAGACAUCCCCACAUCCACAACAACUGUAUCACCACAUACCCAGCCACAGUGCUGCACAUUGACAAUAUAGACUUAUGACAGGUAUGUAUAGAAAGCACCAAUUAAUGCACAGUUGUUGUUGUUGUUGUUAUAAUAUUUUUAUAUAGCCCUAUACCCGCAGGUCUCAGGGCAGGUAGAAAAGGACCAUUCUCGUGAUGCUACCCUCCGGACCUCUCUAGGAGGAAACACACAAAGAAGGGCCUUAGAAGAUGAACAAAGGGACCAGGUUCAUAUAGAGAGAGGUGGUCUUUGUGGUCCUGAGGUCCUGAAGUGUUUAAAACUUUAUAGGUCAAAACCAGCACCUUGACUUGGGAGCAGAAAUAUAUCACUCUGUCUGUGAAUAUAUGAGUUUGAAGUGAAAACACAAUAAAUUUAUUUCAGUGGAGAGUAUCCCCAAAAAAACAAAAUAUAAGGCUAGGUUCCUGUUCACAAAGUUGACGUUGUCAAGAUCAAAUAGUGUGAUAAUAUCCUUUGGCCAAUUUCUCUCUGUCUCUCUCUGCCUCUCUUCACUCAGCAGAGCUAACAUCAGCAUGGUUUACCUAGUGGAAAGUGUGAUAAUUCUGAUAUCCAUUAUGUGAUGGAUGCCUUCAGAUAACACUUUCUCCCACAGAUUCCAUUGUUAUUGUUGUUGCACAAAUCACCAUACAGUGGAAAGAACUGGGUUAUCUGUAAAUACCCCAGUGAGUCAGUGGUUUACAAUUAUCUGCCUUAAGUGCAAUUAAAACUCUCAUUAAAUAGUUUAGUGGGGCUUUUUUCUUCUUCCUGAAGUUCUAUGAAAGGCUAGAACAGAAAUGUGUGAUCACCUGUGUUUGACGGUUGCAGUGAAAGAUUAACGUGGGUGAGAAACUAUUAGGCACAUAAUUAGAAAUCGUAAAUCUUCCAUUCUUAUUGGUAAGCCUUUGUUAUGUAUUAAAAAUACAAUUUCUUGCAAGCAAAGAGAGUGCAGAAGAAUGUAACAUUUUUUAUUGCUCUUCUCCAUCUAAUGCAUGUUUUAUUAUCAUUAUCUGAUAGCAUGACAAGAGUUGUCUUUGAAGAAAAAAAUGCCAUCCUUUGAGUUUAAAUGUUAUUUGUUUGUUUGUUUAGAGAGUUUAUUUGCCAUUCCUCAGGUAAAAACUCUCUCAACAGCUUCUAUAAAAAAAAUCAAAAAAGCAAUAAAAUCAGGUAAAAAGGGGGGUGGUACACCACAGCAAAUACAAAUGCAGGCUAGCACAUGGAGAGAACAACCACAACAAAAUAUUUGCAAGUUUUCAUUCAUGUUAAUAAAACAAAGAUAGCCAGUAGCCUUCUUUAUAGCAAUGUGUGUAAAGAAGAUAUGUGACAAAUUACAAUAGUGCAUCUGAUCUGUACUACAUUUCCCUAAAGGUAAAAAUGCUGUUAUCAUUUGAGGUAAAUGGACCAAGUGUAAACAUAAUAAUAAAGAAUAUAGCUUCUAGUGAAUGAGUUCUGCGAAGUGUCAAUGAUGGAAUAUUGAAAGAUUUAUAAAACUGGGCUUGGAGGAAAUGGAAAGUCUGCUGCUUCGGAUCUGAUCUUGUUUUUUGUUUUUUUAUCACAAUGGGAAAAAGAGGAAUUCCAACACUCCAGCAAAAAUCACAUUCAAACCUGGCCUCAUUGGUGUUGUGACCAUUAACAGCAACAUUUGGAUCAAGCCCUGAGAAGUGUCUCCAUGGAGGACUAAGCCCACAGAGCCAAGCAAAUCAGCAACCUCUGUUGGCAGUGACGCAGUCACCAUAGUGACUGCUAGGACCAAGUAUGAGCCUUCCAUUUGAGAGCAUCUUGGACAUAGCUCGGCAGCUCCACUUGCAGAGAUGGGGAGCCUGUGGCCCUCCAGAUGUUGUUGGACCCACCAUUCUUGUCCACUGACUAUAUUGGCUUGGGCUGAUAGGAGUUGGAGUCAAACAACAUAUCAAGGUUACAAGCCCCACCCCCCUAAUCCCUGCCCUGCCUUGCUGGGCAGGGAGUAUAGGGCUCAACUGGGGAGGGGGGUAAUUUUCCAGCAAAAUCUUAUCAUCAGGAAGGAAUUGUGAAGACAAGUGGCCUAGGAAAAUGAUGGGAUCCGAACUAGAUGAUAGGAAAAGGAUGCAGAAAGAUGAGAAAGGUUCCGUUUGCAAUAUGACCUCUGCUUUCUUGGGGACAUUUGUUUGCAUCAGUUUCUGGUACCUGGCAUCUUUAGAAGGAAAUUGAGCAGUUCACUUUGAGAAUUCAUCUCUGUAUGUGUGUGUUUGUGUGCUGUUGCAUAAAGAAGUCAGAAUAAUCCUUACUGUCAUUUUUUUUUUGUGGGAUUCCACUUACGUGAUAAUAUUUCCAUGAGAAGGUAAAUCAUAUGUUGAGAAGAUACACUCAAGUGCACUUGAUUUACAUUUGGCACAGUUUGCUCUUGCUUUUCUGGAGGAAGUUAUCAUCCUAUUUGUGAUAGGUUUUAAAGAUGUAUUUUACAAAGGAUUUGGGAUAUAAAUGAGAUAUAUUUCCUCUGUUGCCAGGGAAUAUUGAUCCCUAUGUGAAAUUGCUUGCAAUUAUCUUUUCCCCACACGUGCAAGAAAACGAGGUCUGCAGAUUCUUCUGUAGCUGCUACACAGCACAGUAGUUGCAUGUGGUUUAGCAAAUGGUUGUUUAAUGAUAAUAUCUCAUUAUUCUGCAUUAUGAGUGGGGACUUUGAUUUAAGAAGACAGAGCAACCAUAAGUCCCAUAAGGCAGGUGAGUGAUGUCGGUGCAGUUGGAAAACGUUGCCACAAUGUAAUAGGAUCAGAAUUGGGGAAUGCUUAAUUAUGUUCAGCAGUCAAUGGGUAAAUCACAACCUCCAAGCAAAUAUUUAAAGUUGGAGAUACUUUGGAGGCAGUAAAAUAGUUACUCACUUUUGCACACCACAAAAGUUGUUCGGAGGCAAACAAACAGAAGAGAAAGUGACUUAGCAGCAGCACUGACAAGCGCUGUGUGUGUCAAUGUAUAUUCAUAUUCAUAUGUCCCCAGGCAGCAUAAGCGGAAGCACAUAUCAAGUAUUUAAAACAGAAACAACCUCUCACUUUUCUCAUAGCUGGUACUGAAAGCUACUAAGAUCUGUCUCUGGGUGAUUUCCUAUUCAAGAUAGCAUAUAUAAAAUAUGCAUACCUUAGUCUGAGCAAAAGCCUAACUUUGUUGUUGGAUUAUAAAUAUGAAAAAGUGCUGUGUUGACGGUUUCUGCAGUUUGCUUAACUUAUCUGGGGAUAAGCUUGCCGUACGUCAGGAAAAUUCACGGGUUUUGGGUGUAAAAAUGACGUCAGGGGGGAAUUUUGUCGAACUGGCAAAAUGUCAGGGGAAACCCUGAUGUUUGGCAACACAAUGGAAAAAGCAGUGGAAACAAAAGCUUACUUUUUGAAAUACGUCAACCCUAUCUGAGUGGGGGAGAACAAAUCCAUUCUCCUUGCUUCAUUAUUCUGCAGACUCAUAAGGCCAAACAUCAGUAAUCAUGAUCCCGGUAGAGCACAAAAGUUUAAGUCCCAUGACUCAGCUAUACAGCGACAAAUAAAACGUUUUAAGUGUGUUUUAAGUGCAAUUGACAAUGUGACACUUGAUGGCGAUGGCGAGCCGUAUGGAAAAUUCAAUGUAUUUUUAAAAACACUGUCAAAAAAGCAUUUUCAGAAUGGUUUUUUAAAAAAUAUAUGUGUAGAUUCCACCCCACUUUGAAGUUCAGUGGCAGACUUAGGUAAAUACCGUAUUGACAUGAAUAUAAGCCGUACCCAAACAUAAGCUGCACCUUUAAAAUUGGAGGGGGGGGGAGGAAAAAAGAAAAAAUACCCAAAUAUAAGCCGCUCCAUUCCUCGCUGCUCCUGGGUGCAUACUGGAGGGUGGGGACAGCCACGCUGCAUUGCCGGCGGUCUUUUCUCUUCCUUGCUCUCUCCCUUCCCAGCCUUGGGGGAGAGGACAGGGGACGAUGAAUGGAGCAGGCACUGCUUUGCCACGCUCCUAGCUGUAUACCGUAAGGUUGCGAAUGUAAGCUGCACUUUAACUUUUCACGGUCAGAAUUUGGGGAAAAAGUGAGACUUAUCUUCAGGCCUAUACAGUAUAUGAAGAAAGGAAGAUGAAAAAAUCUGGGAAGUGAGCAAGUUCCUAACAAGGAGGACUGGCAACUUAAGCUGAUGGAAUACACAGACAUACACAAUUUAAGAUGAUGGAAUAACAAGUAGAGUAAGAGAGCAGGAGGAACAAGUACUUAAAGAGGAGUGGAAAUUUUUUGUUGAGUAUGUAGAAAAUAAUUGUACACAGAUCAAAACGCUGUCAGCAUUAAGGUAAAUUCAACAGCAUAACAUAUUUAAAGAGAUAUUGUAAAGGGGGGGAUUUGAACCAAACCAAUAUAUAUAAGAAUAUGCAGGAAUUGGGGUUAAAUUAAAGGCGCUUUGGAAGGGGGAGGAGGGAAGUCAUUGAAUGUAUUGGUAUUUUGUAAGACUUUAAUGUGGAAAUGUAUAUCUAAAAACUUUUCAAUAAUUUUUUUUUAAAAAAGAUAACAUCUGAUUGAGUUCAGUUGGGCUUAUUCCCAGAUAAGUGCAUACAGUAUUAGAGACCAAUUGCUUUUAUUUAUGGGGGUUAUUCUAAAUUGUACAUAACUCUGAAAAUCUCUGGUCUGAAAAAACCCCAGAAUAAUUUACUUAGUUGUUGUUAUUAAUAUUACUAUUAUCUUUAUAAAGGUAACUGGGAAUAUGUUUACCAUGAUUUUAAUGGCUUUUCCAGUGAGUGAAGAAAUGAAAAGGAAGCCGCUUUGCAUUCUGAAACUGCACCCAUUUUUGUAAUCUUUCAUUAAAGAGGAACUGCAUUUGCUAAUUAACUACAUACUAGCACGUCAAAGUAUUAUUAACAAAAGCUGAAAGUUAAUGGUAGUUCAUUAUUCCCCCAGCUAUCAAACUCCAUCCCCCAGGGAAUAUUAACUAGAAACAACCAUUUAAACCUUGCCAGCCAGAAUGUUAUUAACUCACACCCAAUAAGCAAUUCGAGUGGAUAUCCAGGCUGUCUGAGAAUUUGAAAAAUACCUAUGGGCUAUGGGCAGUUUAUAAUGAAAUCAAGGGGCAAUGUUCUACUCCUUUGAGCAAUACUAAAUAUCUGCUUACUAAAGAUUCUUGAAAGCUUGCCAGGAUGCAGCUCAAUGUUCAGGAGCUGAGAAAGUUUUCCUCAAAGAACAGCAUCGUAACCUCCAAAUUCUACUUCAGCUCAGAAUAAACUCUAAAACGCAGAAGUAUUCCCAGUUUACCACCCACCAACCCCCAGCCCUGAUUUCCUAAAAUGACAGCCUCACCCAGACAUUUCCUAGUGGUAAAAAGCUAUUAUUUGACACACAUGGAUAGUAAGAAUAAGAAUAAUAAGUAGUAGUAGUAGUUUAUUAUUUAUACCCUGCCCAUCUGGCUGAGUAGCCUCAGCCACUCUGNNNNNNNNNNNNNNNNNNNNNNNNNNNNNNNNNNNNNNNNNNNNNNNNNNNNNNNNNNNNNNNNNNNNNNNNNNNNNNNNNNNNNNNNNNNNNNNNNNNNGACGUCUUCUAAAAGUAACAUAGAUUUUUAUUUCUUUGAUAUCUGAUGGGAGGGUGUUCCACAAGGCAGGUGCCACUAACGAGAAGGUGCUGUGGGUUAAACCACAGAGCCUAGGACUUGCCGAUCAGAAGGUGGGCGGUUUGAAUCCCCGCAACGGGGUGAGCUCCCGUUGCUCGGUCCCUGCUCCUGCCAAUCUAGCAGUUCAAAAGCACGUCAAAGUGCAAGUAGAUAAAUAGGUACCGCUCCGGCGGAAAGGUAAAUGGCGUUUCCGUGUACUGCUCUGGUUUGCCAGAAGCGGCUUAGUCAUGCUGGCCACAUGACCCGGAAGCUGUACGCCGGCUCCCUCGGCCAAUAAAGCGAGAUGAGUGCCGCAACCCCAGAGUCGGUCACGACUGGACCUAAUGGUCAGGGGUCCCUUUACCUUUACCACCCUCAGCGAGGUUUGAGCCUUCAUGAACUCAUCAUUGUUGAGUGGUAUUUCUUUCUUUUGAAAACUAUGUGGGAUAAAAUACGGAAAGGUAAAAGAGCGGGAAUCCAACAUGGAUUCCACUUAUGCUUUGGCAAGGCUCUUUCGAAUGAAUUGCUGUGUCACUGAUAAAACACCUCAGUCUUUACAUUUCUGUUGCCAGAAUUAAAUAGCUUGCAAAUGGGGGGUGGGGGGGGGAUGUAUAAAAAUAUUAUGUUCUACCUAAUCGAAAGCAAGCUGCUUGCUGUUGAGGCCAGCUGGUGUUUGCAUUUGACAUCUGUCAAGUACAUUGGGGUAUUUUUUUCCCUGCAGCUUUUGGCAACAUGUUGGCUCAGAUUGACAUAUUACAGAUGAGAGCUGGGUGGGCCACAACUCAAAGAGCCCUGUAAGGUUGUGUGCAAGCAAUGUCUCCAUUUCUAACAACAAUUCCCCAUGCUGCAUUGCAAACUGCUUUUGAAACCCCACAGUGCUCGACAGGGACCUGUAAAGUUAUGCAUGGAGCCACUUCAUUGUAAGUGGCAUUUGUGUCGGGUGACGGAAAAAGCCACAUUUGGCUGCAUACCUGAGAUGGCCACUUCGCAUCUAGCUGAAAUGUUCUUUAAAAAACAAAAAAGCUUUGCACAUCACUGCCAUAUAUUAGAUGGGGGAAGAGAUGUAUCAAAUAAAUGUAGCUUUCCUGAAGGGAAAACAGGUGUAAAUCAGUUAAAAUGUUUGUCUGGGAGCUGUCAGUUUAUCACCUAGGUGAUGAUCCCUUUAUAUUUUUUACUUUGCCAUGUGAAACAUAAAACAAUUUGGCAUGACAGGAUGACAAAACGCUGCUUCUCCCAGCUGAAAUCUCCAGCCUCUCUGCGAUUACGACUCAGAUAUAUUUUACAUUUGAGAUUAGCAUCCACGAAUCCCAACUCCCAGCACUGAGGCAUUAAAUAGCUGUUUGUACAUUUGGCAAGGGAAUCUUGUCGUUAAGUUACAAAACGUACACAACAACAACAACAACAACAACAACCUGUACAAAAUGCAGACAAAUACUAUCUAAAAAGCAACUGGUAAUCAUACAGUCCAGGAUGCCUCACACUUUGCAUUUUGCAUGGGACACAUCAAUGGAAUAGAGCAGUUCUCUAAUCCAGCCUCUUGAUUUUACAGGUUAGCUUUUCAAAGGGGUCGAGCAAUGAAAACAAAUAUUUGCUCCAUAACACACAAUUCUUCCACUUACGAAGGUACCAUGGUAUUAACACAGUGCUUUGAAAGUCAGUUCAAAUAUCUGAGCCUGCAAUCCUUACCGUGUCUACUCAAAAGUAAGUCCCCUUGAAUCCAACAGGACUUACUUCCAGGUAAGUAGGGUUUGGGGUGCAACCUGAGUUAACCAACAGCCUACAGGCCUAGCAUUACAGGCAUCAUACAAACUUAGAAUAAGCAUUGUCAUUUUGAGUAAGUAGAGGCAAUCUCUAAGUUCAGGAGGAAAAGUGUGUACAUCAUCAGAAUGCAGGUGAAGGAAUCCAGACUUGGCUAUUCCUCCUCUUAAACACAUGUAAGCAGAGGGGGGGGCAGACAGGGAGAUUGAGAGGUGCAUAAACCAUCCCAUCAAGGAGAAGGCUAGGAUGGCACCUUUGUCCAUAAUAAAAUUGCUUUCCACAAGUAGAGCAUUUAGAUAAAUCAGAUUUAGUCAAAGAUGUGCUCUUGCAGCCUUCCUGAAAUCCCAGUGUGUUAGAUACUGGGAAAUCUACACAGAGAUGAAAGGACAGCUGUCACACUUCCCUAGUUGAACCAUUUUUGGUUACCAUAACCUUUGUUUUUGUUUUUCUGCUGGUAAGUCCUAGACAAACAGGUUUAGCAGAAAUGCUGUACUUGAUUGCCUAACAAGCGGCUUUUGUUUGAGAUUUGCAGGUUCUCUCUCCACACUGGGCUUCUUCAGGAGGACGAGUAGGCUAUAAAUUGAAUAAAUAAAUGAACUAUCAAUAACAUGCAGGAAAAAGGAUGAUGGGCACCUGGAAAACAUAGAGCCAGACAAAUCCUGCAUUAUUUCAGUGCCUAGCGUACUCUGGUCCAUGGGGUAACGAAGAGUUGGACACAACUAAAUGACUAAACAACAACAGAUAUGAAGCAGGGAACCAGUUCAGACUUGAUCAGAAAACUGAGUCUGGAAUUGACACUGGACUUCGCCUCUCCAGAGCAGUAAUAUAUUUGUCUACCUCACCACAGCAAAGAAAGCCAUAAGACACUAUGACCCAUUCUACUGGUGGGGAACCUGUAUGGCCCUCUAGAUUCCAGGUCCUUCUAGAAGUGGGGAGAAAUUCAAUUCGGUUCACAUCGGAAGCCAAACCUAUCUUCCGAAACAAUAAGUGAACCGAAACACAGCCAUUCCUCAAAAAUUGCACUUUUGCGAAUUUUGUGGUGCAAUUUUCCAACCAUGUUUUUAAUGCAUAUAUUAUGGGGGGAAAUGUACAUUAAAAUGAAUAUAUUAGUGAGAAACUGCAUCGAAAAAGCAUUAUAUUAAGCGAAGCUGCUUACAAAAAUUUGUACAUUAAUCAAAACUGCAUCUAAAAAAUGUGUUUGUAGGAGGACUACAGUGCUGAAGAAUUUUAAUGAUGGUUUUUUAAAAUGCAAAUGGCUGCAGAAAUUUGGGGAAGUGAGGUUGGAAGAAUCCUUAGCUGCCACCAGUAUGGGCAAUGCAUGGGGAUAAGAGCAACUGCAGUCCAAUGCACCCAACUACAUCCCUGGUCUGUUGCACUGACACUGCUGAGAACAACUGCAUUUUGGCUUCUUCUCUCAGCACAACUGUCUCCCUCAGUGUCCAUCCCACCUGGCCAUUAAAUACUUAUAUAACUUUAUGAAGAAAGCAGUGUCUGGAUUUACUUGUUUUGAUUUGAUUUCAACUUAUUAUAUUUCUAUAUUUCAAAUGAAUCCGAAAGCAUCUUAAACAAUAACGUGACAGAACGCAACAGAGUACAGUGGUACCUCGGGUUAAGUACUUAAUUGGUUCCAGAGGUCUGUUCUUAAGCUGAAACUGUUCUUAACCUGAAGCACCACUUUAGCUAAUGGGGCCUCCUGCUGCCACUGCGCCGCCGGAGCACGAUUUCUGUUCUCAUCCUGAAGCAAAGUUCUUAACCCGAGGUACUAUUUCUGGGUUAGCGGAGUCUGUAACCUGAAGUGUAUGUAACCUGAAGCUUAUGUAACCCAUACAGCACAUAUACAGCAAAUUUGUUUUUCUGCCUCCAUCCCUUUUUCCUGAAUGCUUAACCUGAGACUGAAGGUUCAGUGAACUCAGUGGGAAUUCACUUCCGAUUAUUACAUGCAUAGGGUGAUCAGGCUGUACACCUCGGAGCUUGUAAGCAGAUAGUAUUCUGAAACUUAAAACCCCAACUUUGGAAAACUAUGAAGCAAACAACAUAUUGUUGUUUUAUAUAGUUCCGCGGCAGAAUAAAACUUUCUUUUUAUGAGUCCAUUCUUCAAAGAGAGUUUGGCCAAAAUGCCAUUGUGACAUUCCGCAGCAAUGAAAAGCGAUCCAUCUUUGCUUUGUACCUUAACCAGGCAAGGUAUCCAUUCAUUAUUUCCUCCCAAACAGGAUCUUCUGGAGUGCUACAUUUGAAAGUCCCCUUUAUCUUCAUUAAAGUGUCAUGCAAGCCGACAAAACUUUGUCAUUGAAUUCCAGCAGUUCCGUGAGGCUAACAAGUUCUGAAAGUUUUCAGAAAGAAGCAAUAUUUGCCGAAAACCCAGAACACAGUAAAUGAUUUCUCAGGCAGUUUCUCAAGGGUAUCUUUAUGGCUGUGUUGCUCUGAAAUUGAGAAAAAUCAAAUGCGACUACAAGAGUGGCUUUUCUCCCCAUCACUUCCCAGAAGAAGUGCUACUUUGUUUUAGGUUGUAAAAAGAGCGAAUUAGGAUUAUAUAAUAAAGACUUCUAGAGCGCACAACCUCUCUGGAAGGAAAGAGCAAAAUAAUGCAGGCUUAUGACUCCAAAUUGACUUAUCUCUUCACCUCUUCCUCUGUUUGUGCAGUGAAAUUGAGCGUAACUAAGAAGAGGAAGCUUUAUGCAAGUUCAUGUAUGAUCCAUGAUUCUCAGGGAAACUGAGCUACCAGGAGGGCAAAAGAUCAGCAGAAUGCUAACACGGAGACAGAGCACAGCCGUGCCAAUGGCUUUGCCCUUCAUUAACCUAAAGCUGUCGGUGCACACAUAUCACCUUGCAAGCAUUUACUCACUUCUCAGACUGCCAAGUCCAAGGAAUCAUUCUGGAAAUGCUCCAGCUAUCCCCCCCUGGAAAAAAUGCACAGUAUUAUCACCCUUAUUUGAAGAGGUAUGCUUUCCUUAUUUUAAAAACUGUUUUCUCCCCUCUAUUCCAGAGUUUCCAAAUUCCAGUGUCCCUUGGAACAGAAGCAGGAAGGGCAAGGAAAUGUGAGUGUUUCAAACAACCAAAGCAUACUUUAUUCUUAGCUUUCAUCAAGGAGAGCCAGUGUGGUGUAGUGGUUAAGAGUGAUAGACUCGUAAUCUGGGGAACCGGGUUCGCGUCUCCGCUCCUCCACAUACAGCUGCUGGGUGACCUUGGGCUAGUCACACUUCUUUGAAGUCUCUCAGCCCCACUCACCUCACAGAGUGUUUGUUGUGGGGGAGGAAGGGAAAGGAGAAUGUUAGCCGCUUUGAGACUCCCUAUGGUAGUGAUAAAGCGGGAUAUCAAAUCCAAACUCUUCUUCUUCAAGGGUGCAGUCAGGAGGUGCAGAGGGACAGCUGCCCCUCAAUCAAGUAAAUAAAUAAAAAUACUUAACUAACUGACCAAUUGUGUUGCAGAUAACUCGGUUCUGCCUCCUCCAACAUAAAGUCUGCCUCCCUAAAAUAAAUCUGGCUGCGCCCAUGGCUUUCAUAGUAUAAAAUUAAGUUUUUGCAUGCCCAAGAAAAGAAAGAAGAAGUAAAAUCUGCACACACACACACACUCAAAAAUCAAUCAAGUGAAUUUUGUGAGAUGAGCAAGCUCGGCUGAUCACCACUCUUCUGUGCUCAUAGCCCAAUUAGUGAAGUCAGAGCUAUGACUGACAAAUGAGUUGUUAGGAAUCCCUGUGGUCCUAACUAGCUGUCAUUUCCUGCUUCUGUCUCAUUUUGAGAUUUUCACCCUAGCAAGCAGAAUACAUCUUUCCAGGGGUGGGCUUGUCUGAGAUCAUGUACACAUUAUUUUCUGUAAGUACUUCUACACAGUGACUGUGGGUGGAAGCUAAUGAUUAUCCCUCCACCUACAUGGCAAAAGCAAAAUAUGAAAACCUGGCUAAUAGGCUUAGGUAUGUCUUCUGCUGUAUAGGAACUAAUGCCCAGGCACAUUAAGAAUUUGCCAUAUAGUUAACUUGCAGUGCUAUGGUAUGCAUGUCUACUCAAAAGAAAAACUUUGUUUGUUUAAUGAGGUUUAGCCCUGUGCAACUUAAAGUGUGUAAAUAGUUGUCUUAUCAGACCAGAUUAAAAUUUAUGGAAGCUUGAGAACUGUACUAAAGUUGAGGUGGGGGGACAUUGACUUUUUUAGUACAAAUAGGCAUCACACUGAUUAAAGGAAGAAAAAUCUGAUGCCUAUGAUACAAGCUUUAACUCCUCUUUUGUAGCGAUUUUAUCACUGCAGAUGGUGAGAGCAGUCACGAAAUUAAAAGAUGCUUGCUUCUUGGGAGAAAAGUGAUGACAAACCUAGACAGCAUCUUAAAAAGCAGAGACAUGACGUUGCCGACAAAGGUCCAUAUAGUUAAAGCUAUGGUUUUCCCAGUAGUGAUGUAUGGAAGUGAGAGCUGGACCAUAAAGAAGGCUGAUCGCCGAAGAAUUGAUGCUUUUGAAUUAGGGUGCUAGAGGAGACUCUUGAGAGUCCCAUGGACUGCAAGAAGAUCAAACUGAUCCAUUCUUAAGGAAAUCAGCCCUGAGUGCUCACUGGAAGGGCAGAUCCUGAAGCUGAGGCUUCAGUACUUUGGCCACCUCAUGAGAAGAGAAGACUCCCUGGGAAAGACCCUGAUGUUGGGAAAGAUUGAGGGCACAAGGAGAAGGGGGCAACAGAGGACAAGAUGGUUGGACAGUGUUCUUGAAGCUAUUAACAUGAGUUUGACCAAACUGUGGGAGGCAGUGGAAGACAGGAGUGCUUGGCGUGCUCUGGUCCAUGGGGUCACAAAGAAUCGGACACGACUAAACAACAACAUAUCUUCACAGCAGGUAUGUGAGGUAGGUGAGGCUGAGAGUUUGUGACAGGCUCAAGGCAAUAAAUCUAUGAGUUACGUGGAACAAAGGGCCCAAUCCAUAUACUGCAUACUGGGCCCAGAAAAUCCUGUUGGCUUACCUGCAUGGGGUGGCUUACUCAGGUUAGAAGUCAGGCAGGAGAGAAAGGCAUUUUCACAUUCCAGAGUUGCAUGUCAAGGCCCCAGGUCCCACAGCUCCCUUAGAUAAUAAACACAUGGACACAAUUAUUUUUGGUUUAUGGGAUAAAUUAGGCUACAACUUUAUUGAUUACAGAUGUGAGCGGUUUGGCUUAGGCAUUGGGUGAAACCAAGCUGUAUCCUGACUCCUGCCUGUCUGCAGGGAGUCCACGGAUGGGUAAACCAUCAGUGGGGGAAACCCUAUGACAUAUGUCAAAUCGAGGCACCCCACGGUGUCCCUGUGGGGUCAUGGCAUGGCCCUAGCCCAUGUCCAGGCUUCGGACAGGAUCCUCACCCCUGGAUCCCUUUAAAAGGAUACCCUUAUCAAGGAGGGGCAGGCGGAUGCUACAACCUCUCCACUGUAAACAAAGGCUUACCCAAUUGCUAACCUUACAAAGUUGUGAUGAUUGCUACAGUGUAGGCGAAAACUAAAUGGCUGGUGCCAAUUUGCCCCCAGCCAUGCCCGAUUGGACAGCCAGGGGAAUGACGUAGCUGUGCAUCAGUGUGAUGCGGGCGGCAUCCCUCCACCUCCCAGCAGGAUCACUGAAGGUCACAGAUGCCCAGCCACAACACCACCCUCCUGGGAAGGUGAGGAGAAUUCCUAUGCUGGCAAAUGCAGUGGAUUGACAUAUACAGGAGACAGCAAAUGCCAGUUGUGAUAUUCUUGCCUUCUAUGCUUCAGCAUUUGCUUUGGACACUUUCCUAGAGGCUAGCAGCACAUUGAAAAUGACAAUAAGGCUGAACCCUUCAGGAACACUGGCCAUGGUGUGCAUGUCUGCAUAUAUAACAGUCACAGCUGUUACUAUUUAGGAUUCUUCAAAAUUGCUAUUGAAUUUCCCUUUUUGCUACAUGCCUUGAGACUGGUAGAGCUGAAGGGAAACAGUAACAAAUAUGGUGUUUAAUAGGUCGUUUAAACUCACAGACAUGUUUAAUUUACCAUAUUUUUCGCUCUAUAACAUGCACCCGACCAUAACACGCACGUAAUUUUUAGAGGAGGAAAACAAGAAAAAAAAUAUAUUCUAAACGAAACAGUGGAUGUAUGAUUUUUGUGGUUCAUGCUGUGGCCACAGACAUGUGAUCUGACAGUGAGUUUGGAGUAGCCCAAUGCAAAAAUCCUGAGGAUCCAUGUGGAUCCAUGCUUUGUAACCAUGUUUUUGCACCCCAGGCAACAGUGGGUGCGUGAUUUUUUUGGUGCAAGAUGUAGCCAUGGACAUGCUAUGUGAUCUGAUGGUGAAUUUGGGCUGACCCAGUGCAAAAAUCCUGAGGAUCCAUGUGGAUCCGUGCUUUGUAACCACAUUUUAAGUGGGGAGGGAAGGAAAAGCACUCAAGGGACAAGGAGCACGCGCGGGGUGUGUGGAGAAGGAUGCUGCUAAUAAUGCAGAAGAGGGGUAUAAGGGGAGAAGGCUCCUCUCAUCUCCCACUUUGCUCCUUUAAAGCAAGCAGGCUCUUCUUUUCUCCCUCCUCCCCGCUCAUCCCCGGCUUAGCAAGCUGAAAAGCUUUGCUGCUAUUUAGCGAGCUGAGUGGGGAGGAGAGAGGGACAGAAAGCCUGCUUGCUUUAAAGGAACCAACCGGACAGGAGCCGCUUACACUUGUGUAAGCGGCUCCUCUCCUCUCCCGCUUUGCUCCUUUAAAGAAGCAGGCUCUCUGUCCCUCUCUCCUCCCCACUCAGCGGCUCUUCUCCCACUUUGCUGUUUCAAAGUGAGCCACGGAGGAGAGAAGGAAGGGGAACCAUGGAUCCUCUGCUCACGACUGCAGCAGAUCCCCCCGCCACCCGUAGGCAUUCCCUCCAUAACACGCACAGACAUUUCCCCUUACUUUCUAGGAGGAAAAAAGUGAGUGUUAUGGUGCAAAAAAUACGGUACUUGGGAAUAACUGCAGAACUUUCCUCCGCAGUAUAAUAAUAUCCAGUUUCCAAUCUAUAGGAAAUGUGUGUGGGCUGGGUUGAGCAAGCACAUGCAUAUAUGUACAAUCUCCCUCACGCCGAACAUAGAUUGUACAGCAAGCAGCAAAUUCCCACAGUUCUCCCUGGGCACAAACAUUAUCCUUUUUUUUAUUAAUACCAACAUCAAUUCACGAAGAAGUCUGCCAGCCACUUCCAUCUGCCCAUAUCCACCACUGAUCACCAGUUUAAGCUUUCUCAAUUUAGGGAGGGAAAUGGAAUUAUUUUUCAUUGCCUUCUGCCCAAGCCACUGGCAGCCAUAUCAACAUUUCCAUCUGCUCUUUCCCCCCCAGCUUAAUCCCACCCAGAUUUAUAUUUACAGGAUUCUCAUUUAAAAAGUGUGUGUGUGUGUGUGUAAAGCGGGGACUUAUUUAAGCAACGCAACAUGUGCCAUCCAGAGGCAGACCUCCCACUUACUUAGAAAAACAAACAACAGCAAGCCACACAAAAUUCUGUGCAUAUGCAAGUUCAACAAAUCAUAUGUCUGGACACUGUCUGAAAAUUGCUAAUGUGAUCACACACCCCGACACAAAAAAAAUUCCCUUAGAAACAGGGAUAUCAGAACACCUUCAUCACUGAACCGACAAUACACUCUGUAGUUUAUUCAGAGCUGGGCUGGAGGCAACAAAAUAAGAUGUCGACACAUACAUCUUCCAAUUGUCACCUUGCAUCACAUUGCACUUUUCGAGCAGUGCAGAAUGGUGACAGUUCCUCCCGCAGUUGAAGGCUGCAAUUGUGGUUUCAUUACAAUCUUGAUUUCCCCCCCUUUUGCCCAUCCAAACCACUUCAUUUUGUUUUUAAAUUGGUAGGUUAUUUUUUGAGGCCAAUAUAUCAGGAACCCCCGCAAAAAGAAACUUGAAAUAAACUGAAUGGUGAAUGGCUCAAAUUGUAUUUUCUUAUGCGCCGGUCCAAAAACAUAUGCUAUUUUCUGACCAACAGCCAACAACUGAGGGGGAAGGGAAUCCACAUGCACCCACACACACACACAAAAACAACAAUGAAAGACAAACACACCAAAACAGACUAAGCCUGCUUUCCUGUAGUCUCCUAAGACAGAACUCUUGCCUGGGAACUGCUUUCUUACUACAGUAGUACCUUGGUUUACAAACUUAAUCAGAUCCGGAAGUCCGUUCUUAAACCAAAGCAUUCUUAAACCAAGGUGUGCUUUCCCAUAGCAGUGGGGGACUCAAUUUACAAAUGGAACACACUCAACAUGUUCUUAUUCCAAAGCAAAGUUCACAAACCAAAACACCUACUUCCGGGUUUGCAGCAUUUUUAAUCCAAGUUGUUCAUAAACUAAGCUGUUCUUAAACCAAGAUACCACUGUACUGACUUAAAUUAAGACAUGCUGAAAUAAGGUUGCCAAAAUGGUGCCCUCUAGAAGCUCUUAGACUGCAACUCCCAUGAGCUGAUAGUCAGGGAUGAUGUGAGAUGCUGUGUUGACCCUGGAUAGGAACAUUAGAAGACUGGAGUGAAAACUAGAUGUUAUGAUACAGGAUGCAUGUGUCAGGGACUGGGCAGAGCAGGAGGAGUGGGGGAGACCGCUUCCCCAUCCUGACCGUGCCAGGGAGGAGGAAGAGGAGGUCCAGUAUAAUUGAAGGAGCGUCUUCACCCCCAUUGUUCAGCCCAGACACUGAGGUCCAGCACCGAGGGCGUUCUGGCGGUUCCCUCACUGCGAGAAGUGAGGUUACAGGGAACCAGGCAGAGGGCCUUCUUGGUAGUGGCACCCGCGCUGUGGAAUGCCCUCCCACCAGAUGUCAAAGAGAAAAACAACUACCAGACUUUUAGAAGACAUCUGAAGGCAGCCCUGUUUAGGGAAACCUUUAAUGUUUAAUAGAUUGUUGUAUUUUAAUAUUCUGUUGGAAGCUGCCCAGAGUGACUGGGGAAACCCAGCCAGAUGGGUGGGGUAUAAAUAAUAAAUUAUUAUUAUUAUUAUUAUUAUUAUUAUUAUUAUUAUUAUUAUUUACAACAAGGGUUUGUGGGAGGUCACAGCUCAGAGGCAGGUGAGGGGAAAAGUUGGGAAAUAAUGGGAGAGAAGGAGGAGGCAGAACCGGGGCAGCAGCUGGCUGAAACGUCAUUAGAAAGCAUUCCAGACCUACAAUCUCCCAGAACCCGGUGAGCCUUAGAAGUAGGAGAGCAAAGAGCUCAAAGACAUAGUGGCACCCGUGGAGGAAAUGAUGAGGAUGAUGAAUGAGGAAGAGACAGGGGAGGGUGGAGAUUCACUCAGGACAACACCAUUAUCCAAAAGGCUGGGUUCUAAAAAAAAACCUUUUCCUUGUCUUUAUAAUUUCCUAGGCAACCAGCCGGGAGCCACUGACAACACCCUAACAGCAUGGCUGCUCCCAGAAAAAGCAGCCCAAUGUGUCAACCCCUUUGGUUAUCUGGUAGUACAAAACAUAUGAAGAUGUGGCAUCAUCACCAUCUCAGUUCAAUGUGAUUGGGUGCUCCUCGUGGAGGCAGACAGACUUUGAACAUGAUAGCAUACAUUUUGUUAUUACUGGAUAUUACCAGGGAUAGAACAAGGAGGAGACCCACAUCUGCUUCUCUUGCCAAGUGUUCCUAAUCCAGGAGGCGGAGCUGUGGUCUAAACCACUAAGCCUCUUGGCUUGCCGAUCGGAAGGUUGGUGCUUUGAAUCCCUGCGACAGGUUGAGCUCCCAUACCUCUGUCCCAGCUCCUGCCAACAUAACAGUUCAAAAGCAUAUCAGCGUGAGUGGAUAAAUAGGUACUGCUGCGGCAGGAAGGUAAACGGCAUAUCUGUGUGCUCUGGCACUUGUCGCAGUAAUAAUAAUAAUAAUAAUAAUAAUAAUAAUAAUAAUAAUAAUGUAUUAUUUAUACCCCACCAAUCUGGCUGUGUUUCCUCAGCCACUCUGUGUGGCUUCCAACAAAACAUUAAAAUACAAUAAUUCAUCAGAUAUUAAAAACUUCCAUAAACAGGGCUGCCUUCAGAUGUUUUCCAAAAGUCGGAUAGUUGUUAAUUUCCUUGACAUCUGAUGGAAGGGUGUUCCACAGGGCAGGCGCCACUACUGAGAAGGCCCUCUGCUUGGUUCCCUGUAACUUUGCUUCUCACAGUGAGGGAACCGCCAGAAGGCCCUUGGAGCUGGACCUCAGUGUCCGGGCAGAAAGAUGGAAGUGGAGACGCUCCUUCAGGUAUACAGGACCGAUACUGUUUAGGGCUUUAAAGGUCAGCACCAACACUUUGAAUUGUGCUCGGAAAUGGACUGGGAACCAGUGUAGGUCUUUCCCUGUUUAGGGAAGCUUUUAAUGUUUAAUAGACUAUUGUAUUUUAAUAUUCUGUUGGAAGCCGCCCAGAGUGGCUGGGGAAACCCAGCCAGAUGGGCGGGGUAUAAAUAAAUUAUUAUUAUUAUUAUUAUUAUUAUUAUUAUUAUUUCAAAUCCGGUGUUAUGUGGUCUUGGCAGCCGCUCCCAGUCACCAGUCUAGCUUCCGCAUUCUGAAUUAGUUGUAGUUUCCGAGUCACCUUCAAAGGUAGCCCCAUGUAGAGUGCAUUGCCAUAGUCCAAGCGGGAGAUAACUAGAGCAUGCACCACUCUGGCGAGACAGUUCGCGGGCAGGAAGGGUCUCAGCCUGCGCACCAGAUGGAGCUGGUAGAGAGCUGCCCUGGACACAGCAUUGACCUGCACCUCCAUGGAUAGUUGUGAGUCCAAAAUGACUCCCAGGCUGCGCACCUGCUCCAGAAGCAGUUUAAUCAUGCUGGCCUCAUGACCCGGAAAGCUGUCUGUGGACAAACGCCAGCUCCCUCGGCCUGAAGUGAGAUCAGCGCCGCACCCCCAUAGUUAAGUUUGACUGGACUUAACCAUACAGGGGUCCUUACCUUUACCUUAACCCAUUGUGAUGUCAAGUUGUGACUACGGAUGGAAGAGAAUUCUGUUGAAAACAGAAACAGGAGUGGAAUUUGCCAACAUUUGCUUAUUCAUCCCAUGUCUGAAACGGAAAUAAAUCUAGUAUAUAUUAUCAGUAUUUGUUGUUAUUAUUGCUUUCAGUCUGCAAACAAUAUGCAAUUGAUUUCCUUCCCAUCCCCUUUGCGUUGAAAUGAAUUGGGUGGAGUGUACCUUGUGUAAUUUACACAAUUACUCACAUUGAGUUACAUAAUUUUGCCACAGUGGACAGUUCUUGGGUAGAUUCUGCCAUAGUUUUGGGCAGAAGACAAACCGCAGUGGAAAGGAAGCACUGCUCCAUACGACAAAAACAGAGCAAAAUGGAAAGCAGUGUCUUCUCGUGUUUCUUGCUCCAACAUGAUUUUACAGUUAUUCAACACAAAAACAAAAUCUUCUAGCAUUUGUCACUGAAGGCACAGAUGCAAAAAUGUAACCCAACAACUAGUUUGCUAGUAGAAACAAAGACCCUGACAAAGGACAAAUAUUGAUAACACAGUAUUGCAGGAAAGAAAAUAGCACCAUAAGUAGUGUCUGUCUAGAAUGAGACCGAGGUGUGUUGAGCCCAGCAUUCUUGCCUCCAGAAUUUGGGAUGCUGCUAAUUCAUCUAUCUUGCCUUUCAGAUUUCUAAUAUUAGAAUAAAACUAGGGCAGAAAGCUUUAACCCAUCCAAUCAGUGGAGUGAUCAGCAAAAGCUUUAGCUGAUUAAUCAGUGGGGGCCAACUGUAAUCAGUGAGGGUAAUUUUGUGUGUGUGAUGAUGCAGGCUAAAUACACAUUUGCUUAUCUUUGAGGGCAACUUUGGUUAUGGUGUAUUAUUACAACAGAGAAUUAUUAUUUUAUUUAAGCCAUGCAUCAGAGGGACUUCCAAAAAAAUAUGGAGUAGCUUUUGUUAAUUGCAUUGCAACUUAGUUUGCAUUUUCUUUGCAAUAUAAAAGAAGGAACCAGUCUGGGUAACAUGUAUGUUUUAAAAACACACAUGUGGUUAUUCGCUGUGAAGGACCCAAGAAGUCAACAAUGUGGGAAGGAGCCUGGUCCAGAGGACCCUGAAUUUUUUUCUGGGAUGGGAGAAAAAGAGAUGUGUGGCCUAGUAGGAGAGAGAGAGAGAGACUGAGUUCUCCACAUUUCCACCUCCAUUUUAUACACACACACACACACACACACACACACUUAAAAUCCUAAUGAAAAUUCAUAAUAAUUUAAGCAUUUCAAUCAAGGCAUACAUUUUAUGCAAUUGUGUCUAAAAUACAUUUUUGUAAAGUAUUUCUAUUAUUAUUAUUAUUAUUAUUAUUAUUAUUAAAAUGUAUAUACCACCCUUCAUCUGUAGAUCUCAGGGUGGUUCACAACAUAACAAAUAUAUAACGUAUUUUAUGUUAUUUUCACUAAUAUAUGCAUUUUUAUGCACACUUUCCUUUAGUACAUGGGGGGGGGCAUGUUACUUGACUGGAGAACUGCACUGCAAAAUUCAGAGAAGUGCAAUUUUCUUAAAAAACAAAGUUAAGCACAUUUUUAUUAGUUUUGAAACAAAAUUACAGCCCUCACCCCAUGCAACCAAUUGACAGGAUUCUGGUGAUAAUUAUGUGGUUCUCUUCUCUUCUCUUCUCUUCUCUUCUCUUCUCUUCUCUUCUCUUCUCUUCUCUUCCCUCCCUCUCUCUCUCUCUCUCUCUCUCUCUCUCUCUCUCUCUCUCUUCCCUUCCCUCUCUCUGUUACAAUAAUCCAGGGGUCAGCAAACUUUGUCAGCAGGGUCCACUGUCCCUCAGACCUUCGGGGGGGGGGGCAGAUUAUAUUUUUGGGGGGAAAUGAACGAAUUCCUACAAAUAAUGCCCCACAAAUUCUUACAAACGAAUGCCCCACAAAUAACCCAGAAAUGCAUUUUAAAUAAAAGGACACAUUCUACUCAUGUAAAAACAUGCUGAUUUCCGGACCGUCCACAGGCCAGAUUGAGAAGGCUAUUGGGCUGGAUCCGGCCCCCAGGCUUUAGUUUGCCUACCCAUGCAAUAAUGCAAUAUAACUUACUGUUAGACAGUUAUUCAGAAGUACAAUUCAGGAGAAUCUAAUGUUACUCCAGUUUGUUUGUACAGAUGGUCGGGGCACAAGGAAGUUACAGAAAAUCAUGGAGAACAUAUUUGUGAAACUGCAGGUGGCAGGGUGCUUUCCCACCAUAUGGCAUGAAACUUCAUGGUUUUUUGGUUCCUUUUAUUAUCCUUAUUUUGUGUGGUACUUUUUUUGCUAUAACUAUAUGCCAGAUGCCUCAACCCACAGCGAACUUUGACUGGACUUAAAUAUCCAGGGGUCCUUUGCCUUACUUUUACCUUACCAAAGUUCAAUACAGUGGUACCUCGGGUUACAUACACUUCAGGUUACAUACACUUCAGGUUACAGACUCUGCUAACCCAGAAAUAGUGCUUCAGGUUAAGAACUUUGCUUCAGGAUAAGAACAGAAAUCAGGCUCCGGCAGCGUGGCGGCAGCGGGAGGCCCCAUUAGCUAAAGUGGUGCUUCAGGUUAAGAACAGUUUCAGGUUAAGAACAGACCUCAGGAACGAAUUAAGUACUUAACCCGAGGUACCAGUGUACUCAAAUCUUGCAAUUCCUUCCAAUUUUUUUAGCAAUAAAUAGCCUUGCUGCUACUAACAAAAAAAAUGUAAUUAAUUCUUCAUGUCCCAAUUUGGCCCUUCAAACAUGUGCUGCAAAGCCUAUUGAUUCAUGGGUUAUUUUUUCGAUCUCAUCAUGCUCCUUUCUCACCCUCAAAUCCCUGUGCAAUUGAGUCAUGCGUUCCCCUAUGCCUAUUACUUCACCAAGAAAGAAGAUGCAGACGUACAGCAAACCAGCCUGCCAGGUCUCAUAGCCUUUGCAGACAUGGGACGGACACUGCGGCAAGGAGAUGUCUUGUCUGCGCCCAGGCAAAUGCACAAAAAAUAUUUAUACAGAGAGCAGCAUACAUCACUUUGGCCAGGACUUCCCGUUGCUUCACCUGACCAGAUGAGGGCAUAGUUGGCAAAUACCAAAUCUUACAGAUAGCUCAGAGCCUAGCACUCCUAAACCCAUAGAUAAGGGUAACAUCAAAGCAAGGGAAUAUAAAAAUAUAUGAGCUCAUUGCUACAACAACUAGAAAUUAAUUGUGGUGUUAUCUUAACUACGUACCAAGAUGGCAUUAGCAAAGCUUCCAGAACAGUUCAUCUUUUGCUCAACACAGCAUCUAUUUUUUAUUUUUGGUGGAAAUGCGGCGGUGGUGGUGGGGGAGGACAGCAUCCAUUUUCUUGAUUCCAUUCUCUUACAUUCCGCAAUGGGCGAUAAAAGAAGUCACCCAAACCAUACUGUUGUUAUUUUCAACAUGUAUAUUAGCAUUGAGGGCUAAGAAAAUAUGGCAGAAUUGAGAGUCUUGUAAGCACCCAAGUCCUAAAUCACUAAUAUUGACUUUGAGCUGCUCUUGAGAGAUUGGAUGGUCAUUUUUUGAAUAUAAAAGAAAAUCUCAAACUCUAUGAUAAUUCCCCCUGGUCAGGAGCUAUACUUCUUCUUAACGUCUCACAGAUGAAGGAUGACACAUCAGUGGAAUUAACAGGGAGAAAACUGGAGAUAAGUAACAACAGCCUGAAAUCUUUUGCAUGCCUGAAACCUAAUAAUAGUGAAAGUGGUUUGGAGUUGUUUCAUAAAUGGCUGUUGUCUAAAAGGGUUGUGCCCAUAUCAGGCUUUCUUUUAACAUUUUUGCCUACAAAAAACUGACAUGCCAGAUAUGAGCAACCAGCAGGAAUUCAAACCACUUUCAUUUCUACAGUAGUUGUCAACCAUUCCUUGACUUCAUAAAACAAGAAGACAAAGUUCAAAACCCACUUUUGACACAGGGUAAUCUGUGGAGAGACCUACUAAAUGAACCUCAGGAAAGGGAGAUAUUGACAAAUGACGCUGUGGUGAUUUUAAAGUUUUUAAAACAAUUAUUGUUCUUUUAUUGUUUUAUCUCAUAUACAUAACAGUAUACACACACACACACACACACACACACACACACACAAAAACACCACCAUUUUUGCCUUCAAGUGUGAAUUUCAAAGGAUGAUUUGUAUAUCAUUUCGGAAAGUGGAAACUGGGUAGGUUAUUGAUUUUGUUUGUUACUAUAUAUUUUUGGCCACCUCAUGAGAAGAGAAGACUCCCUGGAAAAGGCCCUGAUGUUGGGAAAGAUGGAGGGCACAAGGAGAAGGGGAUGACAGAGGAUGAGAUGGUUGGACAGUGUUCUCGAAGCUACCAGCAUGAGUUUAACCAAACUGCGGGAGGCAGUGGAAGACAGGAGUGCCUGGAGUGCUCUGGUCUAUGGGGUCACGAAGAGCCGGACACGACUAAACAAAAACAACAUAUAUUUUUUUGCUUUUAUAUGGUCAACCGCCCUGCGAUCCUCGGAUGGAGGGCAGUUCAGAGAUUUAAUAAAUAAGAAUGACAGGUUCUCCUUUAAAUGUGAACUGAAUGCAAUUUCUCCGCCAACCCUAGCUGGAACACCAUUCCAAAGUGACAGCUUCUCCCAAAAUAUUUCUUCCUCUCAAUACAUAACCCUUUCCAGUUUUCACUUGAUCAGCUGCUCUACAUUUUAAGCCACAGGGCAGCCUAGUUCCAUUGUAACUGAUGAUAGUUUAAAUGUUUCUGAGAUGGACAUCUCUAAAGAUGAGCUGAAGAACUGUAGCGCCUCUUUUCCAAGAGCUAUGAGAAGACACAUGGGACUCCUGUUUUCUGCCAGACUCUCCUCCUAAGCUGUACACAGCUCAGAGUACCUUCCCCCUGACAGUGAGUAUUAGGUUCAGGGUACGGCCAUAGAAAACAAGCUUUCCAAGAUAGGCUUAGAAGAAAUGCUUGGAUCGACACACAUAGUCCUGUAGAUGAGAACAGAGGAUCCAAAUGAGUAAGAAGUGAUCCAAGUGAGCAUUAGAAUAAUGGCAAGAAAUGUGGCUCAUGUCUUAUGAAUACAGCAGCAUGGCUGACAGGAACUGGAAGGGAAUUGAAGAGAGCACAGAACAGGAGGUUAACCAACCCUUGGUGACUCCAAGCACUUUUGCAUGUGUUUCUCGAAGAGCUUUUUCUUCCCUCGGCACAUGCUGAGCUGUUCCUGAAAGCUGAUUGAAAUACUUCUAAAGCAGAGCAGCUUACGAAGCAGAAUGGAGAUCAGUUGUUCAAAGACAAAAGGCAAACAUCUAUAAGCACACGUCUUUUGGGAUCUUCCAAAGCAGCUCUUUAGAUUCUCCUAUGUCCAAGAUUAGAUUAAUUCCCGACAAGAACUUCAGAAGUUCGGGGAGGUUAAAAAGAUCUCCAAAAGUAACAAAAAUGAAUCCCUUGGGAAGAAGAAGAAGAAGAAGAAGAAGAAGAAGAAGAAGAGGAGUUUGGAUUUGAUAUCCCGCCUUUCACUCCCUUUAAGGAGUCUCAAAGCAGCUAACAUUCUCCUUUCCCUUCCUCUCCCACAACAAACACUCUAUGAGGUGAGUGAGGCUGAGAGACUUCAGAGAAGUGUGACUGGCCCAAGGUCACCCAGCAGCUGCAUGUGGAGGAGCGGAGAUGCGAACCCGGUUCCCCAGAUUACGAGACUACCGCUCUUAACCACUACACCACACUGGCUCUCUAGUGUGGACUAGAGAUGGACGUUUGAAGAUCCUGGGAUCACAAUAAAUGCUUGUGCAGAUCUGAAGGUGCAAAGGUACCUGGAACAUUUUCUAGCCCCAUGCAACAUGGGUUCUGAAUUGCAAGCAUUCAUGAGAGAUGGCCAUCCAGCUUUGGCUUAAGCACUUAUUUCUAUUUAUUCAGAGAUUUCUACACCCAGACCAAUCAUGUCGGUCUCAAGACAGUGCACAACAAUGUCAAAGUUCAUGUGAAACACUAUGAUCACAAAGGUAAAAAGAGCAACUCAGGGCAGACUUAGAGAAUACUUCCAUAGAAUGAAAAUGUAUCAGUUAAUCUGGGGAAAAAUGGGUUCAGGGGAGAGAAAACAGCAGAGGAAAAUCCCAAUUAUUUUUCCCAGUGUACUCCUGUGUUGCAAAUGUGGCCCUGUCUACACACAACACUUGGAACAGUUUAGGGGUACUCUUAUUUUGACUCAAGAAAAUCACCAUUUUAUUGUUCAAAUCAGGAAAAAUAAAUACAGUAAAUGGACAAAAGUACAAAGAUUCACAAAAUGUGCAGGGGUAUGCGUACCCCUGUGUACCCCCAGAAGAAAAGAAACACUGCCACUUUCAAUAGUCAUGGCUUCCCCCAGGGAAUCAUGGGAACUGUAGUUUGUUAAGGUUGGUGAGAGUUGAUAGGAGACCCCAAUUCCACUCACAGAAGCCACUGUUCUUAGGAUGGUUUAACAGUUAAUAUGUGUUCCCAAGGAACUUUUGAACUGCUUUAAAUGUAUAGUAGUUCAGAUGUGGCCUGUGUCUGUAUCUCCUCCCUGCAUUUUCAAAGAAUCUAGCAUUUGAAUCCUCCAGAAGCUUUUCGGACUUAUAAGAAACUGGAGAUUCUGAAAUUAGAUUGGCACACAUGAACGGGGUCGUGUCAACUAACAUGGACAAGUCGCAAAGUCAAAACAUCACAAAAGAUGGCAGACUACCUAAAACCUUUUUUGAAAUGACUGACAAUAUGGACUUGAUCGACAUUUGGAGAACAAAGAACCCACUAGGUAGAGAAGGAACAUUCUUUUCUGAAGCCCAACUGACCUGGACAAGAAUCGACCAAAUAUGGAUCUCUAGAGGCCUGGCACCUAGGGUUAGAAAAGUGGAAAUCUGCCCAAAGACCUGUUCUGACCACAACGCAGUAAAGAUGGACAUGACACUACUACCAACUGGAUCCUUUAGAUGGAAGAUGAAUGACAAUUUGUUUAGAGAUCAGGAAAUUACCAAGAAGGCCCAAAAAGUUUUGAAAGAUUAUUUUGAGAUAAAUAUGAACAAUUCGGUGGAAAAAAGAAUCGUCUGGGACGCAAGCAAAGCUGUCAUGAGGGGAUUCCUGAUACAACAGAAUGUAGUAAAGAAAAAAACACAAAAUGAGAAAAAGACAAGAUUUUGGAUAAAAUAAAAGAAUUAGAGAAGAAAUUAAGAGUGAAUCCAAAGUCACAGCCAACUCUGAGAGAAAUUAAACUGUAUCAAACACAGUAUUCUAAAUUGAUAAAUCAGGAAAUUGAAUGGAAGAUCAAAUUAAUGAAACAAAAACGUUUGAGUCGGCGAAUAAAUGUGGAAAACUGCUAUCCUGGCAGUUGAAGAGAAGACAAAGAUUAAACACGGUUACAAAUUUAGAGGUUGAUGGAAGAAACAUUCAGAAUCCAGUGGACAUUAGAAAGUGUUUCCAGAGAUAUUUUAAAAAUUAUAUACCCAAGGGCCGCAAGACGAAGUUGAGAUUAAACAAUUUUUGGCAAAAAUGGAUUAUCUAAACUGUCACAAGAAAAUAGGACAAUCCUGAACUCUAAAAUAACACGACAGGAGAUUGAACAAGCUAUUCAGAACAUGCAACUUGGCAAAUCUCCAGGGCCAGACGGGCUGACCUCCAAGUAUUACAAGACACUAAAAGACUAUUUGAUACAACCUUUGAUGGAGGUUAGCAAUGAAAUUAUGGAGGGGAAGAGGGCACCGGAUUCGUGGAAGGAAGCGUUUAUCACAUUGAUACCAAAGUCAGAAACUGAAAAGACACAACUGAAGAACUACCGUCCCAUCUCCCUUUUAAAUGUGGAUUACAAAAUAUUUGCAGAUAUUUUGGCAAGUAGAUUUAAAAAGUUUUAAAUGAAGUAAUUCAUAAGGACCAGGCCGGUUUUCUCCCAGGUAGACAUUUGUUUGCUAACACAAGGAACAUUAUUGAUAUUUUGGAACUUCUCCAAACUGACAUAAAUACAAAAGCUGUUUUAAUUUUUAUAGAUGCGGAGAAGGCCUUUGAUAACAUUUCUUGGAAAUUUAUGAUGGGAAACUUAAAAGAGAUGGGAGUGGGACGGGGUUUUGAGAAUGGGAUUGAGGCGAUAUAUUCAGAACAGAAAGCAAAACUGAUAGUUAAUAAUGUGGUUACAGAAGAGUUCAAAAUUGAAAAAGGGACACGACAAGGUUGCCCUAUUUCCCCUUUGUUAUUUAUUUCGGUCCUGGAAGUGCUAUUGAACAUGAUUAGAGGGGACCAGCUGGUGGAAGGAAUUCAGGUUGGUCAGAAACAAUAUAAAUUAAAAGCUUUUGCAGAUGACCUGGUUUUGACCUUGCAGAAGCCAGAGCCUAGUACGAAAAGAGUAUUACAAUUGAUUAAUGAUUUUGGUCGGGUGGCGGGAUUUAAAUUAAACAAACAGAAAACUAAGGUUUUGGGGAAAAAUCUGACUGAGACAGAGUCAGAACGGUUUCAGAAUGAGACGGAACUUAAUGUGGUUAAAAAGUAAAAUACCUAGGGGUAAAAAUAACAGCAACACCUCUAAGUCUAUUUAAGGAUAAUUAUGAAAAAUGUUGGACAGAAAUUAAGAGAGACUUAGACAGUUGGUCAAAAUUGAAACUUUCUUUGUUAGGCCGAAUUGCUGCGAUUAAGAUGAAUGUAUUGCCAAGAAUGUUGUUUUUAUUUCAAACACUGCAGGUAUUGGACAAAAUGGAGUGCUUUCAGAAGUGGCAGAGAGACAUUUCGAAGUUUGUCUGGCAGGGCAAAAAGCCCAGAAUUAAGUUUAAGAUACUAACCGAUGCAAAACAAAGAGGGGCUUUGCCCUGCCGGACUUAAAGUUGUACUAUGAAGCCGCAGCGUUCUGCUGGCUAAAAGACUGGCUACUUCUUGAAGACACUGAUGUGUUAGAUUUGGAGGGGUUUAACAAUGUUUUUGGAUGGCAUGCAUAUUUAUGGUAUGACAAAGUUAAAGCAAAUAAGGCCUUUAAGAACCAUAUUGUUAGAAAAUCACUGUUUAAUGUCUGGACAAAAUAUAAAGACUUGCUGGAAAAUAAAACACCAAGGUGGCUUUCACCUUUGGAAGCUAAGGCCCGAAAAGUCCCAAUAUGGAGGCCAAAUGGCCAAAAUAUUGGGAAAUACUAGAAAAGAUGGAGACAAUUGGAAAUUGCAGAGCUUGGAGAAAAUGAAAGACAAAGUGCGAGAUUGGUUACACUAUGCUCAGAUUAAAGAAGUUUUUAAAAGUGAUAAGAAACUAGGGUUCCAGGUGGAGAAAUCGAAAUUAGAAACAGAAUUGUUAGAACCAAAGACUAAGAUACUUUCAAGGAUGUAUAACUUGCUGUUGGAAUGGAAUACACAAGAUGAAAUGGUUAAAUCGGCUAUGAUAAGGUGGGCACAGGAUAUUGGGUAUAAUAUUAUGUUUGAGGACUGGGAAAGGCUGUGGAGUAAUGGAUUGAAAUUUACUGCAUGUAAUGCUUUGAAAGAAAAUGUAAUGAAAAUGAUUUAUAGAUGGUAUAUGACCCCAGUCAAACUCGCAAAAAUUUACCACCUGUCUGAUAACAAGUGCUGGAAAUGCAAAGAGUGUGAAGGAACGUUCUUUCACCUCUGGUGGACAUGCCCUAAAGUGAAGGCGUUCUGGGAAAUGAUUUAUAAUGAAUUGAAAAAGGUAUUUAAAUAUACUUUCACUAAGAAACCAGAGGCUUUCCUUUUGGGUAUUGUCAGCCAAGGGGUGGCAAAGAAGGACCAGACAUUUUUAUGUAUGCAACAACAGCAGCAAGGAUACUACUCGCAAAACAUUGGAAAACCCAAGAUCUACCCACACUGGAAGAAUGGCAGAUGCAACUGAUAGACUAUAUGCAACUGGCUGAAAUGACUGGCAGAAUCCGUGACCUGGGAGAAGAGAGAAUCGAGGAGGAUUGGAAGAAAUUUAAGAACUACCUACAAAAACAUUGUGAUUUGAUUGAAUGCUGAAUAAGAUGCUGGACUAAAUAACUG
RNAcentral lists this long non-coding RNA (86310 nucleotides) under Podarcis lilfordi (Lilford's wall lizard). Lineage: Eukaryota; Metazoa; Chordata; Lepidosauria; Squamata; Lacertidae. The record is from RNAcentral.